RNAcentral lists this long non-coding RNA (80129 nucleotides) under Fragaria vesca (wild strawberry). RNAcentral describes it as "long non-coding RNA (FVES_LNC000045)". The stretch from base 64434 to 64524 matches the Rfam family "tRNA". The record is from RNAcentral. Lineage: Eukaryota; Viridiplantae; Streptophyta; Magnoliopsida; Rosales; Rosaceae.
CUAGUCAUGAGGCCACGAUCGAGAAGCUAGUCUCAGCAAGUUGUUAUCUAUUUAUCUUUGUGCCUGUAAUGUGAUCUAGCUGCGGUUGUAGUUCUGAGUUGCUGGGUUUACUGGCUUUGCUCCAUUGAUCUCAUCGUUAUGUAAUGACUAAAAUAUGAGGACUAUGUAUGUAUCCAAAAGAAGGCUGAUCAUAUAUGUAUAAUAAGAAGAGUACUGGCUUUGUGGUUUAUGUAUAAUCCGCUUGUGUAAAACUUCUUCUUUUAUCCGUCUAAAUGUGAUGUAUAAUCAGAAAAUAUGGCCAGUUUGUCAUCUUGACCAACCUGAACUUACAAACUAAUUAAUUAAGUCAAUCUCCCCAAUUUCAUCAAUCUUCAUUAGGAUUUCAUCACUAGCUCAUUCCUUCACAGAUAAUUAACCAUUUGCUCGAUUGCUCUUAACAAACUGUAAUAGCCAAGAGGCAAACGCAUCCAUCUAAAUUCUAAAAAGUUAUUAACACAGGCUAGGGGUAAAUUAUCCUUUGUUCAGACCAAUCUCACAGUUGAAGCGAUGAAUUGGCUAAAACAAAAGCCUACGGGCAGAAAAACAAAGCAUCUCUAUUCGUACGGAAGAAUGACUUCCAUAUAUAGUAAGCCUUAUAGUUAUAACACCGUAAGUGUAUAAGAAUAGGAAUUCAUAAACGCAAUAAGAAGAAGACCGUGAAAGAGAUCGAAGAUUAAAGCAGGCCUUAAUGUCUUGUAUAUUCUGUACAAAAUUUCAACAGCCAGAUUUUCUCGAUGCAUUCGUCAGCUUCUGUUUGUAACCUUUCUUCUGUCAAAUCCUCCAUGGCUUUUCACGAGCAAUAAUUCUUGCAAGGUCCCAUUAACAAGCCUCACGUACGUUGUUCUUAUCUCCUUUUCCUUAGCUCACCAAGAAUUCAACUAUUACCAAGUGCAGCAACUAGUUUCUGUGAUCGAUCUACGGAAAGUUAAAGUUAUUGCUCAAAAGAGAAAGAGAAAACGGAAGUUAAAGUUCCAUGCUGCCCUAGUUCAAGUACGCACUCAGUUAUGAUCUUGUGGUUCUUACAAUGGAUGAAUGGAUGAAGCAUUACCACACAAAUACUCAGAAGAGAAAAACAAAACAACCACAGUGCACGAUUAACAUGCUAGCUAGCUUUCAUUGUGUGCAAAUAUCCUGAGCUACCAUUCCACCAAAACAAGCUAAAUAAGUUUAUCCUUGUAUGGAUAUUAUGUGAAUCGAAAUAAUUGUAUAUUUGAUUCUUAGAUAUUAUGUGGCACCUAUUACAACGAAGCAUGUGCCAUAUUCUGAAGAUAAUGUCGACACAUCUGAAUCAUCUAGAGCCCGUACCGACACCUUUCUCCUAUAAAAUCAACUCCUACUAGCUUAAACUCUUCAACAGUUCGCCACAUCAAGAACAACUUUCUUUUUGUUUAUACAAGCUAGUAGUCUCACCAAGAAUUCGAAGAUGCAUCACGGUGAUCAUCACGGCGGACCACCACACCACGGAGGAGGUCCGGGAGGAGGUCCGGGAGGUCCAGGAGGCGGCCCUCAACAUGGUCAUGGUCAUCAAGGAGCUCCGGGAGGAGGGCAUGGAGGACCAGGAGGAGGAGGGCAUGGAGGGCAAGGAGGAGGAGGACACGGAGGACCAGGAGGAGGAGGACAUGGAGGAGGAGGAGGAGGAGGACGAGGGGGGAGGAGGAGGACAUGGAGGAGGAGGAGGAGGAGGACGAGGGAGGAGGAGGAGGAGGACAUGGAGGAGGAGGAGGACGACGGAGGGCAUGGUGGUCACUGAUCAUGGCGCUAGACUACGUAUACUACUUGUGGUGUACUAGCUGGCUGAAUAAGUCUCUCUAUGUGACUUCUGUAGUAUUGUUUGUGUGUUAUCAUUUCCUAGUUGGGUCGAUCAGAUCCUAGAUAGUGAAGCUAGCUAGGGGAGUCGAUCUUGUGUUUGGAGUCUGUUAAUUAAUGUAUGUGUAUGGAUGUGUAAUAAAACCAUACUAGCUAUGUAUUUGAUUCGAGGCUUAACAUAUAUUGCAUGCAGCUAUAUAUAUAUAUAUAUAUAUAAUAUCCUUAGAUGACUAAGAACAUAAGAAACAGAGCAGUACUAUUGAUGAUUUACAAGAUUCAAUUUGUAUAAGUGAUCUUUGGCUUGUCCUAAUUAACCAUCAAGCAAAGCGCUAAGAACGAACAUAUUAUAUAUACUGCCAGAUGAUCAAGCAACUUUGCAGAGGGAUCAUGACGAAAUGUCCAUCUAGCAGCUUAAAUGCUUAAUUAGAACAAUUUUGCAAAACAAACACAAACUUGUAUAAUACGGUACCGAAAAUAUAAGUAUAACCGUUUGAAAUGUCAAGUUUAUCAAUCUUAUGAAAUCGAAGUAUCGUAAAUCGAUAAUGAUCUUCUUCAAAACUAGAACGAGAAUGUAACGUGUCUAUAUGACACUAUAAAUGUCUACGAAAUCAUGCGUUAAGAACAUAAUAUUAUAUUCCUUCGUUUUUUACUAAAGAAUAUCAUUACCGUUAAGCUUUAAUUGACAUACGUACGAUUGUACUUUGUAGUGAUACAUCUAAUUAUAUUGGUCGUGUGGUGCCCUUAGUAUAUUAAAAGGAAAAAACUAAAGAGACCAAAAGGCCCAAAGGAAACCACAGAAAUUGUCAUAAAGGUACAAGUGCAGCCCAACUUUCNNNNNNNNNNNNNNNNNNNNNNNNNNNNNNNNNNNNNNNNNNNNNNNNNNNNNNNNNNNNNNNNNNNNNNNNNNNNNNNNNNNNNNNNNNNNNNNNNNNNNNNNNNNNNNNNNNNNNNNNNNNNNNNNNNNNNNNNNNNNNNNNNNNNNNNNNNNNNNNNNNNNNGUCCUGAUCAUCACCUUCCUUGCCUAUGCUUCCUUCCACGCCUCCAGGAAGCCCCCCAGCAUCGUCAAGAGUGUUCUUGGCCCCAAACUCCUGUCCAAUUCGAGCUCUUUCGACACCGGUUGGGCUCCCUUUAAUGGCCCUGAUGGCACUCACAGGCUUGGAGAACUUGAUCUUGCAUUUCUAUCUGCAUAUUCUAUUGGAAUGUAUUUUGCAGGGCAUGUUGGUGAUAGGAUUGAUUUGAGGUUGUUUCUUGCUUAUGGGAUGUUAGGGAGUGGAGUUUUGACUUGUCUUUUCGGGUUAGGUUAUUGGUGCAAUGUGCAUAUGUUGUGGUACUUUGUGGGUGUGCAAGUUGUGUGUGGGUUGUUUCAGUCAAUAGGGUGGCCUUCUGUUGUGGCAGUUGUGGGGAAUUGGUUUAGGGUUUAGACAGCGGCCAUCACACGCCGGCCACGGUCACGCACCACCCCCAGGUCCGGGACACCACGAGCCUCCUCCGCCCCAUGGCCAUGCUCCUCCUCCGGGGCCUCAUGCACCUCCUUCGGGACCCCAUACACCUCCUCCGGAACCCCAUGCACCUCCUCCGGGACCCCAUGCACCUCCUCAUGAUCCACACAAGCCACAUGACCCGCACCACGGUCACCACCACCCAUGAACCGAACUAGUCAUGAGGGAUCACGAAGCUAGCUAGUCUCAGCAAGUUGUUAUCUAUUUCUGCCUGUAAUGUGAUCUAGCUGCGCUUGUAGUUCUGAGUUGCUGGGUUUACUGGCUUUGCUCCAUUGAUCUCAUCGUUAUGUAAUGACUAAAAUAUGAUGACUAUGUAUGUAUCCAAAAGAAGGCUGAUCAUAUAUGUAUAAUAAGAAGAGUACUGGCUUUCUGGUUUAUGUAUAAUCCGCUUGUGUAAAACUUCUUCUCUGUUAUCGGUCUAAAUGUGAUGUAUGAUCAGAAAAUAUGGUCAGUUUGUCCUCUUGACCAACCUUAACUUACAAACUAAUUAAGUCAAUCUCCCCAAUUUCAUCAAUCUUUAUUAGGAUUUCAUCACUCAUUCCUUCACAGAUAAUUAACCACACAUCCAAGCUGCAUUUGCUCGAUUGCUCUUAACAAACUGUAAUAAUUAACCAAGAGGCAAACGCAUCCAUCUAAAGUCUAAAAAUUAAGUUAUUAACACAAGGUUAAAUUAUCCAUUGUUCAGACCAAUCUCACAGUUAGAGCGAUGAAUUGGCUAAAACAAAAACCUACGGGAGAAAAAGAAAGCAUGUCUAUUCAUACGGAUGAAUGACUUCCAUAUAUAGUAAGCCUUAUAGUUAUAACACCGUAAGUGUAUAAGAAUAGGAAUUCAUAAACACAAUAAGAAGAAGAUCGUGAAAGAGAUCGAAGAUUAAAGCAGGCCUUACUGUCUUACAUAUUCUGUACAACAUUUCAACUGCUAGAUUUUCUCGAUGCAUUCGUUAGCUUCUGUUUGUAACCUUUCUUCUGUCAAAUCCUCCAUAUACGAACUCAUGGCUUUUCACGAGCAAUAAUUCUUAAAAGGUCCCAUUAACAAGCCUCAAGUACGUUGUUCUUAUCUCCUUUUCCUUAGCUCACCAAGAAUUCAACUAUUCCCAAGUGCAGCAACUAGUUUCUGUGAUCGAUCUACGCAAAGUUAAAGUUAUUGCUCAAAAGAGAAAGAGAAAACGGAAGUUAAAGUUCCAUGCUGCCCUAGUUCAAGUACGCACUCAGUUAUGACCUUGUGGUUCUUACAAUGGAUGAAGCAUUACCAAACAAAUACUCAGAAGAGAAAAACAAAACAACCACAGUGCACGAUUAACAUGCUAGCUAGCUUUCAUUGUGUGCAAAUAUCCUGAGCUACCAUUCCACCAAAACAAGCUAAAUAAGUUUAUCCUUGUAUGGAUAUUAUGUGAAUCGAAAUAAUUGUAUAUUUGAUUCUUAGAUAUUAAGUGGCACCUAUUACAACGAAGCAUGUGCCAUGCAUUCUGAAGAUCAUGUCGACACAUCUUAAUAAUCUGGAGCCCGUACCGACACCUUUCUCCUAUAAAAUCAACUCCUACUAGCUUAAACUCUUCAACAGCUCGCCACAUCAAGAACAACUUUCUUUUUGUUUAUACAAGCUAGUAGUCUCACCAAGAAUUCGAAGAUGCAGCACGGUGAUCACCAAGGAGGAGGUCCGGGAGGUCCGGGAGGUCCAGGAGGAGGUCCGGGAGGUCCAGGAGGCGGCCCUCAACAUGGUCAAGGUCAUCAAGGGGGUCCGGGAGGAGGGCAUGGAGGACCAGGAGGAGGAGGACAAGGGGACCAGGAGGAGGAGGACAAGGAGGACCAGGAGGUGGAGGACAAGGAGGACCAGGAGGAGGAGGACAAGGAGGACCAGGAGGAGGAGGAGGAGGAGGAGGAGGACAUGGUGGUCACUGAUCAUGGCUCUAGACUACGUAUACUACUUGUGGUGUACUAGCUAGCUGAAUAAAAGUCUCUAUGUGACUUCUGUGUUAUCGUUUAUGUGUUAUCAUUUCCUAGUUGGGUCGAUGAGAUCCUAGAUAGUGAAGCUAGCUAGGGGAGUCGAUCUUGUGUUUGGAGUCUGUUAAUGUAUGUGUAAUAAAACCAUACUAGUUAUGUAUUUGAUUCGUCUCUUAGGCUUAACAUUGCAUGCAGCUAUAAUAUUCUUAGAUGACUAAGAACAUAAGAAACAGAGCAGUACUGUUGGUGAUUUACAAGAUUCAAUUUGUAUAACUGAUCUUUGGCUGUCCUAAAUAACCAUCAAGCAGCAAAGCUAAGAACGAACAUAUUAUAUAAACUGCCAGAUGAUCAAGCAACUUUGCAGAGGGACUAUGACGAAACGUCUGAGAACCCAUCUAGCAGCUUAAUUAGAACAAUUUUGCAAAACAAACACAAACUCGUAUACGGUACCGAAAAUAUAAGUAUAACCGUUUGGAAUGUCAAGUUUAUCAAUAUUCUGAAACCAAAUAUCGUCAAUCAAUUAUGAUCUUCUUCAAAGCGAGUAUAUAUUUAGCGUAUCGAUAUAACACUGUAGAUGUCUACGAAAUCAUGCAUUAAGAACAUACCAUUAUAUUCCUUCACUUUUUACAAAAGAAUACCAUUACCGUUAAGCUUUAAUUGACAUACGAUUGUACUUUGUAGUGAUACAUCUAAUUAUAUUGGUCGUGUGGUGCCCUUAGUAUAUUAAAAGGAAAAAAAAAAUUAUUUGGACUCCGAUCAAUUUCCCCCUCUGAAGGCCGCCACAAUAAGCAGAACUAAAGAGACCAAAAGGCCCAAAGGAAACCACAGAAAUUGGCAUAAAGGUACAAGUGCAGCCCAACUUUCUUUCCCUCCAUUUUUGACCCAAAAACAAAAAAACAAAAGAAAACUACUUCCUCCAUUUGUCUUGAUAUAAUUAGGUAAUACAGGUUGCUUCACAGACAUCUCACCCUUCACCAGGAAGGCCCUCAUUUUCUUUUGAAUCUGGUGGCCUUCCUCUUCAUUUACAGAUCCAAAAACCCCCUUAUAUUCUUCUGUACAUAGAUAUUUCUCAAUCCCACAAAUCAAUCCCCAAAACCCUAAUCAAAGAUCCAUCCUUUCCUUCUCCUCUGCCUCAAUCAACAACUGGGUUCAUCAAUUCAGGUACAAAUUGAGUUCCUUUUUCUUCUUCACAGCAAAUGGNNNNNNNNNNNNNNNNNNNNNNNNNNNNNNNNNNNNNNNNNNNNNNNNNNNNNNNNNNNNNNNNNNNNNNNNNNNNNNNNNNNNNNNNNNNNNNNNNNNNNNNNNNNNNNNNNNNNNNNNNNNNNNNNNNNNNNNNNNNNNNNNNNNNNNNNNNNNNNNNNNNNNNNNNNNNNNNNNNNNNNNNNNNNNNNNNNNNNNNNNNNNNNNNNNNNNNNNNNNNNNNNNNNNNNNNNNNNNNNNNNNNNNNNNNNNNNNNNNNNNNNNNNNNNNNNNNNNNNNNNNNNNNNNNNNNNNNNNNNNNNNNNNNNNNNNNNNNNNNNNNNNNNNNNNNNNNNNNNNNNNNNNNNNNNNNNNNNNNNNNNNNNNNNNNNNNNNNNNNNNNNNNNNNNNNNNNNNNNNNNNNNNNNNNNNNNNNNNNNNNNNNNNNNNNNNNNNNNNNNNNNNNNNNNNNNNNNNNNNNNNNNNNNNNNNNNNNNNNNNNNNNNNNNNNNNNNNNNNNNNNNNNNNNNNNNNNNNNNNNNNNNGUCCUGAUCAUCACCUUCCUUGCCUAUGCUUCCUUCCACGCCUCCAGGAAGCCCCCCAGCAUCGUCAAGAGUGUUCUUGGCCCCAACUCCAGUCCAAUUCGAGCUCUUUCGACACCGGUUGGGCUCCCUUUAAUGGCCCUGAUGGCACUCACAGGCUUGGAGAACUUGAUCUUGCAUUUCUAUCUGCAUAUUCUAUUGGAAUGUAUUUUGCAGGGCAUGUUGGUGAUAGGAUUGAUUUGAGGUUGUUUCUUGCUUAUGGGAUGUUAGGGAGUGGAGUUUUGACAUGUCUUUUCGGGUUAGGUUAUUGGUGCAAUGUGCAUAUGUUGUGGUACUUUGUGGGUGUGCAAGUUGUGUGUGGGUUGUUUCAGUCAAUAGGGUGGCCUUGUGUUGUGGCAGUUGUGGGGAAUUGGUUUGGGAAGACGAAAAGGGGGUUGAUAAUGGGUGUGUGGAGUUCACAUACUUCGGUUGGGAACAUUGUGGGAUCGGUUAUUGCUUCCGGGGUUUUGGAAUACGGAUGGGGUUGGUCGUUUGUUGUGCCUGGAGUUUUGGUGAUAUUGGUGGGAGGUUUGGUGUUUUUGUUUCUUCCUGUGAGGCCGGAGGACUUGGGGUUUGAGGUGCCGGGGAAGGAGGAGGUUGAGAUGAAUCUGGAGGUUAAUGGGGUGGUGAAUGUGGAGAAGGUGGAAUCAGAAGAAGCUGGAUUACUUAGAGGGGAAAAUGUAGAUGCUGAUGUUGGUGCUGGGGCGGAAACUUUGACUGCGAUUGGGUUUUUGGAGGCGUGGAGGUUGCCGGGGGUUGCGCCAUUUGCGUUCUGCCUCUUCUUUUCGAAGCUGGUGUCUUACACUUUCCUGUACUGGUUGCCUUUCUACAUAAGGCACACAGGUAAUUCUUUGACUCUGAUGCUCUUGUAUGAUAAACUGAAUUAUUUUGGCAAUGUUUGUGCUUAGGAUCACAAGAAAGAUGCAUGUGCUGUAUGAAAUACCAAAUAGAAUUAAAGAAAUCAGUGUUCAUAACUAUAGAUUUCAAUUUACUUAUUGUAGUUUGGUGUUAUUAUGAACUCGUCAUAUUAAUCAUGACUUCUGUUUUACCUUGUAGCUGUUGCUGGGGUGCAUCUGUCACACAAAACUGCUGGAAACCUUUCUACAAUAUUCGAUAUUGGAGGAGUCCUUGGUGGAAUUCUAGCGGGAUUGAUAUCAGAUAUGCUUGAAGCUCGGGCUGUUACAUCAAUUGCAUUUUUGUUACUUUCAGUCCCAGCCCUUGUUCUCUACAGGGCAUAUGGAAGCUUAUCUAUGUUUGCCAACAUUGUUCUGAUGUUUAUUGCCGGAUUGCUGGUGAAUGGUCCAUAUGCGCUCAUCACAACAGCUGUUGCUGCUGAUCUCGGCACUCAGACCUUAAUCAGAGGCAAUUCUCGUGCCUUGGCUACUGUAACCGCAAUCAUAGAUGGUACGGGGUCUGUUGGAGCAGCUCUUGGUCCUCUUUUGGCAGGCUACAUUUCAACAAGGGGAUGGAACAGCGUUUUCUUGAUGCUAAUUGUUGCUAUAUUUUGUGCCACUUUGUUUUUGAUACGCAUUGCUAGAACUGAGAUUAAAGAGAAGUUGAGCGGGAAAAUAUGGUUUUGGUGUAGCAUAGACACACAAUGAUUGAGAAGUAAUAGACAGAAAUUCUUGUAAGAUUACGGUACAGCAUAGACACAAUGAUUGAGAAGUAAUAGACCGAAACUUUUUGUUUUAGUGUAUUCUUGAAGUCUGAGUAUCAGUUUGAUGACUCUUUGUGCACUUGUGAUAAAAUCGUUAAAGGAAGAAUAUAAAGGGUAAACAACCAAAAUGUUGGAAAGGAAAAGAAGAGUAUGUACAAAUUCAAAGCUAAAAGUACAGUUACAGAACAAUUUAUAAGCAACUGAGAACUGCCUUAACCUCUCAUAUGCAACGCAAUUCCUUACCUCAAAGUUUGAUCUCCAUUAUGUUCUAUUAGUGUACAGACUGUUAUCCCAAAACUUGGCAAUACGAAUGUCUUCUGCAUCCUUCUCAUCUUCUGUAGAAUCAACUGAAGCACUAGAUAUAGAGGAAGCAAGGCUGCAGUCCCUGGAUAUAUAUACAGAAGCCGAAGUUCUUAUUGAUCAAUUCUAAGUUUUAACCUUUGCCCAUCACCAGAAACAUCAACAAAUGGAGCACACUAGUUCAUCUAUUGAUCUAAGAAGAACUGAAGAUUUUGUAGUCCCUCAGCAGAAAUACUACGUCUGACUCUAGACCUUUCGACUACCACAUGUGGAGGUGGCUCCAAGUGGAAACUCACCAUAACAAGUGUCAAAUUGUCAGUUGCACCACGUUUUAUUGCCUCCUCUACUAUUUGCUUGCAACACAGCUUCACAUCAUUGUGCUCUUGGAGUUUCCUUCGAGCAAAGUCUACGGCAUUUUGGUUGGUGAAGACAUCCCAUAUUCCAUCACUACCAAUGAUUAAAAAUUCAUCAUCCUUGGUCAGUGUUGUCAAUUUAAGUUCUGGCUCAGCACUCAAGGGUCCUCCCCUUUCACCUUCAUCCUUCAAUCCUUCAAGAUGCCAAUCACCUAAUGCACGGGUAACCCCUAACUGACCAUUCAGAUAACCAUCAUCAACAUAUCCACCCAAAGACUCAAUCCUCAUCCUUUCUUUUGUGCAGCAGGGUCUAUGAUCUUUUGACAUUUCUAUAGCUGCUCCAUUUCGUGACAAUAUAGCCCUACAAUCUCCGGCAUUCGCCACAAGCAAAGACCUGUCCAACAAUAACGUUUUUUUUUUAUAAGGAACAACAAACAGAACAAAAGUCUGACGAAAACAAACUAAGCAGUAUCAAGAACUUAGACGUGAGAAGGGGCCAACAAAGAGUAGAUGUAAAUGAAGUAAUUCAAUUCCAAUGUAACACCCCAUGUUUGGGCCGGUUACUUCCUUUCCUAUACUUUAAGCACAAGCACCAAGACUAGCAGAUUUUUUCAAUAUAUUGCUUGUAAGACGACAUGAAGUAAAUGCAGCCUAUGAACACUGGAACAAAGAGUUUCUUACCUCCCAAAUAUCAUUGCAGUGAGUGCAGUUGUGCCAGAAGCAAGGGAAGACCGAACAGAGCAAGUUUUUGCAAAUGCAGCAUCUGUCUCAACAAAUGACCUUGUUAUUACCUUUUCAAGCUCUACCGGAAAGUCAGAAUCCUCAACAAUAACUCUUGGCAAGUUGUCACGAACAAAUUGCGCUGCAUCUUUUCCCCCAUGACCAUCAAAUACCUGUUUAAAUUGACAUCGCAUCAUUCAGACCAUGACUUAGAAUGGAAAGCAAAGAAGCAUUGCCAUACAGCGAAGUGUAGUAAACAGAAGAAGGUAAGUGAACUUACACCAUAGAAGGAGAUAGCUUCUUCGUCAUUGAGUACAUUAUAACCAAAUUUCUUAGCCAAGUCACCAAUGCAUAUAUGAGUAUCUUCCAUAUGGGAGCGAAAUCCAAUAUCAGACCACUCUCCUGACCGAAGGGCAGGGACAAAGUGUAACAUGUUCUGUUUUGGAUCUACAACUACUGAAUCCUCAGAUAUGCUUUCCAGCUGAAAGAUUAACAAAAUAACAAAACUUAGAUCAGAUAUAAGUCUCAAGAACAAUUAACUUACGGAACUCAAACUUCUCCCCAACUAAUAUCUAAACUUCUGCAGGACAAACCAACCAUAAAUAAACCUCGGAUUAAAGAACAAAAUUUAAAUAGCACCUAACCAUCAACCAAAUCAGGAUGUUCACAAAAGGGUGGAAAUGAAUUGCUAAAAACAAAGUCAUUAUAUAAAAAGAAAAAGAGUAUGAAACAUCAAUCAUUCUCUUUUUCCCUGUUCUGUAACUUCUUUCAGAUAAACUGAAAUCGAAGCACAAAGAAUAGAAACUGUCCCACACAAGAAUACGAACCUCAAAAUAUCAUAGUUUGAUCAUAAAUAAACACAUUUAUUUGGUAAAAGUUCACCUUCCAGAUUCCCAAUCAUUCACAGCAAGCCAAUUAAAUUGCAGCUUACUAAAAAGGAUUGGUCUUUAACAGUUUAACAUGUGAAAACAGUACAGCAUUAUUAAUCAAGCUGAAAACUUUCAUAUCUGAUACAGUAAAAACCAAUUACUAUAGUAAAGUGCAGAAUCAUGAGUAAUGUCAAUCAUGAACCAAAUAAGAGACCCAAAUCCCAGAGCUCAAUUUCAACCAAAUGGGUCCUAAAAAGUUCCAAACUUGACAACAACCCAACAAAGCUAAGCCAUCAAAGAACACAAAAUUGAUUGAAUUCUCACCUGAAACGAAUUCAACACGGUGCUCUGCUGAUCGGAGCUCAUCACCAUAGAUUCCUUGUUGUUGUUCUCCAUGUUUCCCAUUUCUGCAUCAUUCAAACACAUGCCUUAGUGCUUUGAGAUGAAAGAUUAUAAUGUCGGUGCUAUUUUCAGUGCUUGAAUUCUCAGCAAAGUUGUAGAGGGAAUCAAAUAGUAGAAACAGAGAGAACAGAGGAAAUAUAAACUUGUGGAGAGAAGAAGAUUCUGGGAAUAUGUGAGUGGGAAAUGGGGGCCUCUGUUUUAGACUAUUGACUAUUGAGUAUUUAUCAGAGAGAAAGAUGAAAGAAUGGAGAUUCCAGAUUUUUCUGUGAAAAUGUGGCUGAAAAUCAGUUUGUUGGGUUCUAUAAUAUUAUUAUUCUUGUAACCAAAAAUAAUAAUAAUAUUAUUAUUCUACUGAAAAAAGAAGAAGAAGUUUUUUGGUCUUGCUUCUUGCUUACAGAUGAGGUAAGCUAAAACUGGGACUGUAUUUUGUUGCCUAUUUCCUUGUCUCAAAAUUUAGAGGAGGUAAAGAUGCCAAGUUUUGGUGUUGAUUAAUAUCUAUAUUGUGUUUGACCAAGAUCACCAACUAACAUCUUCACCAAAAAGGGUUCCACUUUCUGAAAUGUCACAACCACUAAAACCAGGUUUAUUUAUCUUAGUGAUUAACUACCGAUAAUCAUAUCAGAGGAAUUAGGCCAUGUGUUGUUAGUGGUUACUGGGUAGGGUGUGUGAUAUUCUCAAAGAAAUGUAAUGGAAAAAGAUUAUGUUAUUAGCAUAACAAGGAUGUGGUUAGGAUAGUAUUCAAAGAUAUAUAUCACAUAUGCUUCAUUGUGGUUAGGAAUAUAAAUUUCAACCUAUGUAGCAUGAAAGAGAUCAAAUCCGAUAUAUUUCAAACACAAUUGAUGAACCUUUGUUUUAUUUAAUCAACAAUAAUUGCCCCCUAAAAAGUUUGAAAGUGAACGGAAAGGUAUGUUCAAUGUGAAAGUGAUCAUGCAAGACAAUGACCUUAGAUUUUUUUUUUUUUUCUUUUUCCCCUCCUUUAUUCUGCCUCAACUUUUUCACAAUAACAAAUCUCCAGAAAAUAUCUUCUCCUCUUAUAUGGAAACUCUGCUCCUUGUUCAUCAAGCACAGUGAUAAUUUGCUGUUCUGGGUCAUUUCAUUUACACCAUUGUUAUUGCCCUUUGCCCAUUUAAAAGGUUUUUCCACAAUAAUAUGAAGCACCACUAUUCUUUCCAGUAACUUCUAUAUUUACAGUUUUGGGUAAAAUUCUUUUGCAAAUGUGAACACAGUGAAGAAAUGGAAUAUAAUUUAGCUGUGAGUCUUUGCUGUCAUAUUCAGAAGUUUGAGCCUAGGAGACGUACUCUGUUAGUUUUCUGGGAAAACUUUAAUUGGUUAGUUGGUAAGUAUUGGUUGAAGGAGAAUCUUCAUCUUUCAGAUGACACAACACACAAGUGAGACUGAUACGUGGCCCAAUUGUUGUCACCCACAAAUUCACUUGUGGUUUCAAACAGAACAGUAACAUAUCAUGAAUUGAUAGUAUGCAAGUGCUUUUGUCAAUGAAUCGAAAUUUUAGAGCUACGUUGGCAACGAUCAGGUUGUUUGUAUGGAUCAAUCGCCUUGCUUGCACGUUUUACAUGGAUCUUCCCUUGUUUAAGCGGUAGGUGAUCAAUCACCAUUUUCUUGUUUGACGAUUUCAUAUAGAACUUCUGGCACCGCGAUUUGAUUAAUAAAUAUAGCUAUAGCUUAGAUUAUGCUCGAUAGCAUUACUCCAACUUACUGUUUUUCAACAAGUUUUAAACACUGGUUUUUAAGAAUCCAUCAUGUUAAGAGUUUUUGUUUUCUGUUUUCAUUACACCAAAAAAAAGAUUUGCCGGAAGAAUCAUGCAGGUUGGUCUGACUCAAAACAAGUUCCACUUCAUCACAAACGCGAUUGCCACAAAAGAAAAGUGGCAAGAACUACGGAAGAACUAAUACGAAUUAAGAUAAUAUGCGCAGUUUUGAUCCUGGACUGAAAACAACAUACCAAAGGAUCUCCAAAAUUCCAAAAUCUAAAUAAUAAUCAAAAGUUUUAACAACAGAAUGGGCAGCACCGUUAACCAUUAAUAGUCUUCUCAAAGUUCAUAAUCAGUUCACCCUAAACCAUCUACAAUAUCACCCUACCAUGAGAAUUAGACUUAACUUCCAGUGAAAGCCUUCUUUCCAAAAGCUGACGACGAUCCAGCGGGAAUCACCUUCAGCACAUUGAACCUCUUGGUCUUGGACAAUGGCCUAAACAUAGACAAACAAAUAAAAGAUGAGCAACGCACACAUAUUAGAACACUCCAUCAAGAGUAGUAGUGGCUUAGAAAUUUGACCUGCACUGCCCGAUGAUAACAUGGUCUCCUUCUUUCACACGGAAGCAUGGAGACACGUGUGCAGCAAUGUUCGAGUGCCUCUUCUCAUAUCUGAAGCAUGAUACGAAACAGAAUAUUUCAGUAUUACAUAAAAGAGCAUCCUUUUACUUUACCACAAUGAAAACAUAACUUGUAGAAAUCAAGAGAAAUGAACUCCAAUACCGUACCUUUGAUACUUCUUGAUAUAAUGCAGGUAAUUCCGUCGAACAAUAAUGGUCUUGUUCAUCUUAGCGCUGUGGCAAGUACCAGCUAAGAUACGUCCCCUGAUAGAGACAUUCCCAGUGAAUGGGCAUUUCUUAUCAAUGUAUGUCCCUGUUAGAUCCCCAAAAAUAUCGAAUCCAUAUCAGCAAAAACACUAAAUGCUCAUCAUCCAAUUACUCAACUCCUCCAAGAGAAAUUAUACUCCCACAUUUCCCUAGUUCAGCUAGGAACAUCUUAUAUCAUCAAGGCUAUACUAAACACACUUUUCGCCAUUCUACGAGAAUUCAAACCAUCCAAUAACAAAGAGCAAUGCGAUCACACAUUUUUGUACUGAAACAAAUCGAUCAAAUUGCCACAAACAAAUCAAAAACUCAAGUAAAACACAACAUGUCCAUACACACACUACUCCAUUUCACAACAAAAUCGAGAGUGCAAUACCUUCGAUGGCAUCCCUCGGGGUCUUGAAGCCGAGCCCGACGCUCUUCCAGAACCGGUUGCCACCUUUUCCAGGUCUCUUUCCCUUUCCGGUUUUCUUCGAGCUAAAAAACCAAAUCAAAACCUUAAGAAAACAAAAAUCAUGAUCAAAUUGAAUAAAAACCAAAUCUUGAUUUUGAAGCUGAGAAAUUCACCUCAAGAACACCUUAGGCUGCUUCAGAAAAGCUUUCUCGGUCUGAAACCAAAUCACACUGUUAGUGAGAGCAACUAAACCCUAACCAAAGAGUAGAGAGAGAGAAAGAGAGAGAGCGAACCUGUUCGGCCAUGAUUGAUUGCUCGGAGAGACGAAGGUGAGUUUCGGCGGAGGCUCGGCGGCAGUUAAGCUCUAAACCCUAAGAUGCACCAGCUGUGAGCUUCUCCUACAAAUUAUAAGGGCGGCAAUUCGGGUCGGUUUGGGCCCAGUUUAAGCCGGUUUUUCUCAUGGGCCAGAAUGGAUUGUACCUUUGGGCCUUAUGAACUAUGUUUAAACACGUGUCCUGAAGGAAGCUGUGAUCAAAAGCAUAGAGCUUGUGGCACAGAUUCUCUCAACCUUUUUUUUUUUAGAAGAAAAAGAAAAUUAUAACGAGACGCUUCUAGGGCAGCCAAUAUUAACAGUAUCUAAAUGGAAUGCUUGCGCAGCCUGAGGAGGAAGCGCACCUAGCCAAAUCUUCAGAGAAUGCAAACUGUACCCGAGAUUUACAAGAGCAUCAGCUAAGAAAUUAACUUCUCGGAAGACAUGAUCAAAGCUGAUAUUAUCAAACUCACUAGCAACAUGAAUGACAACAACUUCUCUCAACUUGAAUAAUAAAUGUUAGAUGUUAUUUGAGACUACUACAAGGACUAACCUAAUAAAGGUUUAUAUCCAUCAUCAGCUCACAACCUUUCUUCAUAUCACCGAAUACAUCCAUCAAGGUGGUAGGGAUGCUGGCUGAAAAUUGAAGCAUAACCCUGAAACCUUUGAUCAUGAAGGCGUCAAGCUCUACGGUUACUAAGAGUCGACGGAGAGGUUCGAAUCCAGGGAGUCUCAUGUACGUUUUGCGAUCGAGCGAGGGCAAGGAGGCAGUUAAAAUUCGACUCCAACUCCAUGAAAACAGGUGUUGGAGAAGAAGGAUAUAUCGAGGAAGGAAUUGAGCUGCUACUCGACAUAUCAAAAAGCAAGUGGAUUCUUGGUUGGUUGAAAAAAAAAAUGGCUAUAUACACUGAUAUACAGGCAGGAUGAAGAAGCUGGAGGAAAAUCUAUCCAAACAUUUCAUGUUGUCAUCCAAUCAGCCACCUGCUGAUCUACUAUAAGAGAUAUACAAGAUAAUUCAAAAACCUCACAUGAAUCACCCCCAAAGAUGAAAUUCGGACUCAUAAUUUCAAGUCAAAUAACUCUCUCAUAUUUAUAUAUCUUCAAAAUCACGUCCCCAGAGCAAAUCAUAACUCAAAAGUUCUACAAUCUUGCUUGAGAUGUAAAAAAAGAAAGCCGAUAUUGACACAAUGAGUAACGCCAUGCACCAUUUGCCGGCAGCAGAAGUACAUGAUUUUGUAACUGAAGAUAACUGAUCACUUUUCACCAUGGAUAGCUGCUUAGACAAGAUAACCUACUCGUUCUGCAUUUUAAGAAGCCAAUACUGUCAGUUCACAAAACCCAGGAGAAACUCUUAAACUUCAGUAUAUAUUUCCUAAUGCUGCGGUGUAAGAUUAUUGUUCCCACAAAGGAUGAUCUCUCUUGAAUUGUAAUUCUUGAACUAAGUUCACUAUGUGACAUCUUUAAGUUAUGCUAUGUAGGACAUUCACUACGAAUUAUAAGAAGCCAUGACUUGGUAGUAAUCGUUAAUUGUAUGCUGUAUGCUUCCACUACUGACUUUAAAAUGUGGGGAAUUUAUUUUAGAGAGACAAUAUGACUAUAACGUAUGGCAACCUUAGAAGCAUCAGUUAAAACAGAAAGAGAGAAUCAAAACAAAAAAUGGAUAAGAUUUUCAACAACAGCACCUUUUGACGUUUUGAACUAGGAGGCUCGUCACAAUCACUCUGACUAUGCCGACGCGAUGUCCCAACAUUGGAAUUUUCCGUCUGCAAAACAUAUACAUGAUGACUUCAAGUUCUCUAUUAUUUAAAUUUUGUUUACUUCAGCCUAAAAUCAAGAUUUACAAAAUGUAAAUUUUCUUUGGCCAUGAUGGGGAAAAAUGCUAACUGAAAUAGAAACCCAAAGCCUGUUGAAACAUGAAGCAUAGAAGGCCAGUAAAUGAUAGAUGGUGUAACAUGCAUACCACGGUGGAAGAGUCUUGGGCCAUUGUGUGCUCAGAAGAAUUUUCCGCUUCUGCAGGUACAUGACCUGGCUCUCUAGUUGCUGCUUGAGAUAUCAAUGGCAUUACUUGAUGAAGCAAAUUAGACAAAAAUAAUCCUUCUUCAGUAACCCUCAGUUCAGCUUCUGGAGCAACAGCAACACCACUAGGUGUCCUUGCCUGAUCUGAUACAGAACUAGAAUUCAUUCCUUGUACACUGCCAUCUUCUACGCGAAUUUCAUCACCAGGAAAGAGAGCCCUUAGUAUAUUUAAAAUACCGCUUGGGACCUGUCUCUCAGAUUCUUGAUCGUUUUGGGUUCCACCAGAUGAAAAAAGGUUGAUACUAACACUUCGUCCAAUGGGGGGAUCUGGUUGCCUUAUAUAGGGAGUUGAUCCUGCAAGACACAGCCAGUAUAAGUAUUUCAACUAGUAUAGCUACUUCAGAGUCUUGGUUAACUAAUGUAGAAGAGACAAACUCAAUCCGGUUGGCGUACUUGGUUUAUAAUUUUGUAAUACUCAACAGAAAGAAAAAAUGGAAAUAUUACCCUCUCUUGCAGGAUCUGUAAUGUUUUCUGAAGAUUGCCGAUCAGUAUGAAGGCCGGCAGGAUGACGAUCACCAGAUGCUUGAGAUACUUGCUCAGCAUUCACAUUUCCAGAAGCUACAUUUUGAGACCUUCCAAGAAAUGGAUAGUAUAACCCAAAUGAACUACCAGCAGACUCCGAUGGUAUGCGACUGCCAAGUACGGUCCUGAUUGGCACUACCCUUGGCCUUACACCCAAAUCUCCAGCAGAAGCUGAACCAUCUGAGAUACUUGGCGCUGUUUGAUUGGCAGGAUUUUCACCACCUGAACUUGGUGCUGCGUUUCUUUGUAAAGGUUGCUGAAGAUCGAGAUGCUCCUCUCGAUUGACAUUGGCAGUGGUCGUUGGUGAACCUUAUGGUGAAAGUAAAUAAUACUUAUACACGGGCAUAUAUUUUACAUCAAACAAGAAGUAGACAGAACAUGGAAUAUAUAACAGGUACCUCUUCGUAUUUGUAUAUCAAUACGCCUUGGAUGAAAACCAGAACCAAAUCCAUUCAGUAGACCAGAACCAGGCUGCAGAGCUCCCAUGGGCAUGGCACCUACACUCAUUCCUGAUUGAAAUGGAAGAGGCUGGCCGAGUAUCAUUCAGUCUCAAUCAGCACAGAUAAACAAACUUCAGAAGAGAGAUUUCAAUCUCUGAUUUAGGUGUAGAAAAAUACCUGAACCAUUAUAGGGUUAGGACCCGUCGGGGAUAUGAAAACUGCAGGUCCAGCAUUAACCACUGCAUCAGACUGUGAGAGAUGAGCCAAAAAAAAAAAUUACACAUCAGAUAAUACUCGAAAGGAAUUUGAUGAGUCAGAAAGCAAAUUUGGAUUCAGAUGAUACCGGUGUUAGGCCCAUUUGCACUGUCAUCAUUGUACGGCCAAGUUCAAGUAAACAGGCACCUAAAUUAUGAAUCACGGCUCCGGUACUCAAUGAACUGGCUUGGAUUCGCCUCCUUACUGAGUGAUCCGUCACAUUUGCUUGAUUCUCCAACUGGCUUGCAAGUUGCUGCAAAGAUGAUGUAGCAUGAAAAAUCACUAUGUCUUUUCGUUUAACAGAAUAAAAUCAAAGAGUCGUAAGCUUGUAGCUAAAUUAUGAGGACACCAGAUAAAAUCAAGCUACUAGCACACUAUCGAAUUUGAAAGGCCAAAUUAUAUACUAGCGACAAUAUAUAGGAAAUUUACAAUUACACUUGAGAACGCACAAGUAGAGAGUCUCCAACUUGUUCAAUGAGUAAUAGUCUAGCAGUACGGAUGACUUCUGCCAAUGAUGCAGGUGAGGGGGGGCCCUCUCGUCUUAUUCCAGAACCAGAUGACGAAUUCGAACUUCCGUCAUUCCUAUGAAUAGCUGCUUGACUCUGUCCUCCAUCUCUGGCUGUUAGUGAAUCAAUAAAAGCAAUUAUAGAAAACCAGAAGCAUAGGUGAAAAAAACAUAAAUUAUCAAAAGACCUAUGGAGAAUACUCACCAAUUGCCUGAAAGUCGCGCCUUAUAUGACUCAGAUAUCGAGAUAAAGUAUUCAACGAAUCAGGAAUCACCUAAAAGGACCACCAAUAAAGCAGAAAAGUCAAUUCAUACAGAUCCAAAUACUAAACAUCAAAGCAGGCAUAAAAUAAAAUGAUAGAAUAAAGUUGGAACUUUAAACUUGCCAGAGGUGGCAGAUUCCCCAAUGAAAAUGCCGCGGACUGACCAAAAGUGUCAUUUGAUCCAUCAGGUUGAGCCCUUGCGGUAGUUUGCUCAGAAAGAAGUUGGGUUAAACCAAACAAACCACUCAAACCUGAUGUCCUUUCUGGCCUAUUUGUCCCAGGAGGAAACUGCAGCAUAUCAACCAUCCAUGUACCAAAUUUAAGAUACAAGUACAGAGAAGUAAUUGACAUUCGACAAAAAGUGGUAUAUGAACGUAGAUUAUACACAAUAUUUAUUAAUUCUCAAGAGGCGCCAUUGCAAUUUCUCUUUUCCUUUCAACAUCAAACAAUGCAAAGAAGCAUGGCUAAAUUUUUUACUUCGGCACCCACCAGACCCGAAUAAGUCAAGUGUGCAGUUACAGGCAUACUUUGGGUCAUAUAAGGUUUAGCUUGAGUUUUUAAAGUUUUAACGUUUACCAUGACAUCAACCCCUUCACUGGCACUUGCAAUAUUUGGAAUUCCGACAGAGCCCAGAACAGCGGAGAGAAACUACACACCAGCAGAGAUAAUAAUAAAAAAACCAUCAUAAUUAGACAUAAUUCGACACGUGGGAACAUAUAUCAUUUAGUUAGUACUCACCCGACUAUAAUCUGGUUGAACAUCCCCCCCAACAGGCAAACUGAAACUUUCAAUGAAGACACUUGAUCGACCACGGCUUGUACUUGAAGCAGGAUCAGUUGCUAAAACCAGUGAAAGCAUGCAAAAAACAGCUGUGAGAUUUAACAAUUGUACCAAUAGAUUGAAAAGAGAAACAUUAGCGUGUCAAAAGCUUAUACCACAAUUUCCAUAGAAGAUGUGGCCAAUCAUAUAUUGUCAAAAGAAACAUUUAAAGAAUAUCAUUAUACGAGUGAUAUCAACCUGAAUGAUCUGCUAGUCCCUCAGAUGAUGGUGGAAUAGGUUGUCUGACAACCAAAUGUAAGGUGUGGCCAUCCUCAACAUCUAAAUCAUGUUAAGAAAAUAUUUGAAAUGCUUCAUAUCAAAAUCUGGUGAGUGAAACUUAUUUAAAAGUAGCAAGGGGCAUAUGAGCUUGACUCAAUAAAUUGAUAUUAAAUCCAUCUUAAGCAGUAACUUAUAGCCGCGCAUAGUUAAUAUCCCAGAUUGAUUGGUGACAUAUUAUACUAGCUAUGUAUCUUGAAGGACGAAGAGAUAAAGCACUCUUAAGUAACAAAGACAGCACAGAGUUUCAAAGCUUCAACUUCUACCAAUCAAAACAUUGAAAACAACAAAAGAAUAGGAUACGAUAGGCGGAGAGAAGCUGAUCAUCCUUGAGAACUUUUCCUCUGCAUAUUAGCCGUUGUUGCUCUGACAGCACACCAGUAACAGAGGCAAUCUGUUCUUUCAAAAUAGGAACUGGCAUCUGCAGUUCAUAAAACAAGAUAUUUAGAAAGCUUCAACAGCACAUAUAAUACCGGCAUGUCCUCACAGGAAUUAUUGAACUAUUCUGGAACUAGCAAGAGUACUUACCUCUUUAUCCACUUUGAGAGUAUAAGUUUGUGAAUCCAAUGUCUUUACUUUUAUCUCUAUCGUGGGCUCACUCAUCAAAAUAUCUUCAGCGCCAGUACUUCCCAUUCUUCUCAGGUCACACCGAUCCCUACAAAGAGGCAAGAGUACAUACAAGUCAUAAUCAUUCCACUUCCUUUUCUCCCCAUGUAUGAUUCUCCAAAAUCUAAACCGAUAUUGUAAACACAAAUUUCACUUAAAAAAAAAACUCGUCCUCACUAUUCUGCACUGACAGAACUAAACUCAAUUCCAAGUCUGCAAACAUGCAACACAACACAAAAACUGCACACAAUGACAUUGUGUAUGACAUAUGAAGCUGCAAAUAAACAUACAUAAACAUCAAACUCUUCUCAACCCAAUAAUCAACCAAAACCCAAAAACAACAAAACCCUCUUCAACUGAACCAACUCAAUUCCCAAUUCAACAACAUGCAAUCCUCACAUCACCAAACCCCAAGAAAUCCUAGGGUUUCAGACCCAACAAAAACAUACACACACAAUAAAGACUCAAACUUUCGCAACCAGCAACCGCAAAACUCGUAUCCGGCAAGCACCCAAUAAUAACCAGACCCGAACCCGCCCGAAAACCCGACUCACCCACCUAGAAACCGGAAAAACGAAAACCCCAAUUCGGCCACGAUCAAGAUUCAAGAAGCUGUACCUGGUUCGCCAAAAGACCAAAACUUUAAGCUUGAAUUGUCGGAUUUAGCCCUCCGGAGACGAGAACGGUCUCGGCGUCUGUGUCGUCUUCGGCGGUGGCGGUCGUCGGUGUGUGCCAGUAAAAUGAAGGACGACGACGAUGACGAUGACUCGAGGGAGGGAAAAAUAUCGGGUGGUGUCACGAAACCCUGUAAUAAUAAAGUUAUAGAACUUUUUUACCUCUUGUAAAUUUACCCUUUUGUCUUUUUUCGAUUUUCACCGCGUGCUUUUUUACUCUCGGGCUGAUUUGGAAUGGUAAAAAGAGGAGGGCAAAUUCACCACGUGGGACCCACACACACCUGGGGAGAUUUUGUUUUUGUCCAUUUUAGGUUAGAAUGUAAGAAAUAAGAUUAUGGGAUACGUGGUUCACCUAAUCAGAGAAUCAUGGUCAAUCAUUCUGAAUGUAAAUUUAAUGGUGAAAAGUAUUAUUUUAAAGUUAAAUUAUUUUGUUUUUAAAUCUUAGAUUUAAAUCUAACAGUGGUACUAAUGAGUUAUUGACUUAUUGGCAAUAUACACGAGUAUUACGAAUGUAAUUCAAAAGAACAAUGGUUGAAGAUUAUCAACUCAAUUUGAAUCUUGUUUUUUUUUUUUCUAUUUGUUAAUGCUUUUGUAAUUUAAUCGUUAGUCUCUCCGUCUUUGGCUAAUUCUCCAACUCCUAACGAGUUAAGUGUUAGUAAAUAAAUAUUCCUUCUUCAAAAGGAAACCAUACUUACCAAAGAAUAAUAGAAGGACAAACCCCGAUAGUGGCGCGCGCGCAGCUAGGUUUAGUUUUGGAAAGAUUUUAUAACUUCCAUACAGAACAAGGAAAUAAAAGGAAUUACCUCAAUGGAAGAGGAAAUAGUACGUGCAUGGGAGUGAUGGGACCUAUAAAUAGCUAGGUUAGUUAAUUACCUGAGCCACGCCAAGUUAACCAGUCUCGAUCAAACACUGCUUCAUAGUCUCAAUCACCAAACUAUGUCAAAAUCAGUGAUUCUUGUGGAGGAGAUCGACAAGUUCCGAUAUCGUAGCGAGAUUCAAGUAAAAGAUAUAAUCAGCUCAUCCACAAAGAGAAACUGGCACUCGUUGUCAGAGUUCCACCCUAGCGAGGUGGUUGUGUUCGAGUUUACUCUCACCAGGUCUUCAGAAAUAAUUGAUUCGGUACUCUUUUCCGAUCGAAAGCCGGUUAUAGUCCACCGUUCCGAGCUCUUCGACGGCGUCGAUACUUUGAUGCAUAAGGUGGUUGAGGUCACGAAAGAGGCUCUUAGAAGCAUGCGUGCUCCAGACGAGUACCUGCCGGAUACAAUUGCAAAGAUUUUCGACGUGGUUCGGUGCCUGGCAAGAGACAUGAAUCACCGUAAUGAAGUUUCCGUUAAUGUGGACAUAAAUUACUGUCAACUUAUUGAUCAUGGUGAUGAUGACAAUAGGGUUUCAGGCCAAGGAUCGAUGUCAAUGAAUUUCGGGUGGGGGUCAUUAAUGGAACCUCUUGAUAAUGAUGACGGAGUCUUCAAAGUUUCUGGCUUCGCCAACCCUAAUGAUGCAACUAAAUCAGCCAUUGAGAAGUUGGAGAAAGAGACUUGCAAGUUCAUGAUGUGCUACUUGUAGCAAUUUUGUUGAAACUUUCGGCAAGAUUACUUGCGAAUCUAACAACAUCGAGCUAUUGUUUUGAUUUUCAUGUUAAAGUUCUUAGAUACGAGUUUAUAUAUGCUCAUGGUGCUCAAAUUUAAUUCGUAAUUAAUAAUCUUUCACCAUUCUAAUUGAGAAACUUUCGCUGCUAAAUUAAACCGACUUCAAACUCUAACUUUAGUACCAAACGGACAAGAAUUUAUUUAUUCAUCAUGCCAUCAAGUCGAUUACAUGAUCAAAUUAUUGUUGCUAACAAACUAUAGGGAAAACAAACUACAUGUAAUAAUAGAUAGCUAAUUAGAAGAUCAAAUUCCAAAUCAUCAUCUAGCAUUGUCGAAGUCGAAUAAUAAGACUGAUGAUCUCUGCUCGUUCCCAUCAUUAUUCUAGUCUGCAACAUAAUUAAACAACUCAUCAAUUCACUAAAAUUUCACACAAAUUGGCUAGAAGGAGUAUGCAUGGCUGACCAAGUUAUGACAUACCUGAUUAAAACAUGGCUGGGGGUGGCGGGCUUACAUUCAUGCAUAUUGCAAUACACACAGGUAUACAAGCCGCCGGUGGAAUAUCCCUUGGUAUAUUGAAUCGUUUCCAACCAGGAGGACUGGGUGGAGAUCUAGGAGGUGUAGGAGCUACCGGAGCAGGGGGAGGGGGAGUACCAGGAGGGGUAGGAGCUUGCGGAGCUGGGGGAGGCGGAGUACCAGGAGGCGUAGGAGCUUGCGGAGUUGGGGGAGGUGGAGUACCAGGCGGUGUAGGAGCUUCAGGAGCUGGAGGAGGGGGAGUACCAGGAGUUGUAGGAGUUGGGGGAGUAACCGGAGCUGGUGGAGUAACCGGAGUUGGGGGAGUAACCGGAGCUGGUGGAGUAACCGGAGUUGGGGGAGUAACCGGAGCUGGUGGAGUAACUGGAGUUGGGGGGGUUCUAGGAGUUGGGGGGUUUCUAGGAGUCGGGCGAGUUCCUCUGCGACGCCAAAAGAACCUGCUAUAGGUUUGUGAUGCAUCAAAGAUGGAGGCACAAUCAGCGCUACAUUGGAUGGCACAAAGAGAAACAUCAGCUACAUUAGGACUUGGUGGUGGUGUUGGCGGUUGUGGAAGAACAUCUGGUGGGGGUGAUGGAGGUUGUGGAAGGACAUCUGGAGGCGGAGGUAGGGUAGCCACAGCUGGAGGUGGAGAUGGUGGUACUAACGCCGUGGAAGGGUCAUGGCUGGGAACGGGAGGUGUAACUAAGCUCACUUGAGCUUGCAACACAACGGAAUGAAGGAGCACAAACAUAAGCACGGUAAAAAUCCUCAUGUUUUCUAGGCACUUUUGCUUGACUGCUUCUUUUUUCUGUAGAUGAUAAAAAAUGUACAGUAUGUGGCCUCUAUAUAUAGCCAUACAAGUGAUACAACGUACCCUUCAAGUUAUCAAUCCUGAGCUCAUGAUCGAUGAUCUCCUCUUAUCAAUCAAAUCAAUUACAAUUUGAUUUAUGUACUAGGAUCAUAAUUACACAUACAUUAUAAAUUUAUCUAUCAAUUACAUAUUAUCGAUCUAAUCUUACCUGACCGUCAAUUGUCAACAAUCAUGACCAAGUACGUAAUUAAACAAGAGGUUAACUAGAGAAAUAAUUAGCUGUAUCAAAUUAUCAAUCAUGAGCUCAUGAUCUUCUCUCAUCAAUCAAAUUAAUUACAAUUUGAAUUUGAUUAUGUGUUCGAUCCUAUGAUAUACACACAGUAAAUCAUAUCUCUCAAUCACAUCUUAUAUGAUCUUAUCUGGCCGUAUUCACACAAUUAACAAAGAUAAAUUUUUGAUUAUUGAUUGUUAAAGAACUUUGUUUGAUCACUUAAUAGUUUGAUAUCCUUAACGAAUCAAAAAUACGCUAAUCCAUGUACAUCACGACUCUAAGAAAAAUAGGAUUAGAAAAUCUCAGAGUUAUGAUGAAUAAGCCAUAUAAUUUAGGUUUUCCCAAUUCCAUCAUUUCUAUAUAUGGAUUUAUGUGGUUGCAAACUAUACUUUACCAUAAUUUAAUUAUUAGUUGAAUACAUACAUAAGAUGAACCAGCUGCAUGCCAACAACAAAACAUGUAUAUGACAUCUUGUUAAUGUAUACGUAUUUUCUCAUGUGAUUUAACGUAAAAUGUAAUGAGAUUGAUUAANNNNNNNNNNNNNNNNNNNNCACAAUCUUCAAAAAUCAAAAUGAUCGAAUUAGAACAUAUAUCAAUUGUUACCAUAUUGGUCUUGUUACCUUGCAAAAAGAAUCCACUUUCAAUUAGCUCUAUGAUUCUCAUUCAAUUUACAGCUUUCUGAAACCGUGUUUGAUUCUUCGGCUUAGAAAACACACAGCCUACGACUAGGAAAGACUUAUUUAUCAAAUCGCAGCCUACGACUAUAUCUGAAAGGCUUGUAAGAAACAUAGGAAUAUGAGGAUGUUCCUAGCACCCUUGAUUGAUGUAAAAAUAAAGGGGAGUGUAGACUUUAGGAGGAGUCUAACACACAUACACUAUCAUAGGUGUGUUGUGCUAUUUUUCCCUUCGACCAAGAUUUAUUUUAUCCCACUGGGUUUUGUUACUUGGCAAGGUUUUUAAUGAGGCAACACCACAUGCACCAUUUCGUCUUUGACUUGGCUCAAGGGGGAGUGUUGAAGGAAAAACACAUUUAUGUGUGUCUUCGUUAAAGUCGUAACCGGAGAGUAAAUUAUGUAAUUAGUGAUCAAUUAGUGUAAUUGCUCAAUCAGUUAUCAAUCAAAUUUUAUUGUCAUUAUAUACGUUAUAGUUACAUUUGUAAUAUCACCUCUAUAUAAAGAGGAGCUUCAAUCAAAUAAGUAGACCAAUUCCAUUUUUCCUGUAACAGGUUAUGUAUUAGUAUUUUCCCAUGUGAUUUUACAUAAAAUGCAAUGAGAUUGAUUUAUACAUUAUGCACAUACGAAAAAAAACAAAAAACAUGUGAGCCCACAUGUACCCUGCAAUCAAUAUGGUGGGAGCAGAAUCGCCGUGAGCCCAAAAUGCCAUGAUCGAUCAGCAAAUCCCUUGCAGCAUAUACCUACUCAAUCAGUGAACAUGUACACCACGCCCAGGACUUCAAUAUUUCUAUCUACAUACGUUGUUGUUCGCUCUUUUUUCUUAAAGAGCUCAACAAAAUCCCAGUAGCUAGAAUGAUCCAAAUCAUUGUUUAAAAGCAGCAUAACGAUAAGAAUCAAGCAUUACUAGAUUUUUAGAAUAUUACUUUACUAUAUACGCACAAAAGUUGAUACAUAUAUCAUUCCUAACCCUAAAAUUCUGCAGCAUUUCUGUAAUGCUGUCCAGUACGUACUUAAAUACUAAUUCUAGCUAGCUGGCUAUAUAUUAUUCCUCUUAAUUAAUUUAUUGGUCUGUAACAGUACUCGACUGAGGAGUAGUAAUGCUUAGUUUUGAUUUACAUCGAUAUUGAUCGAUCAGUUGUGUAUCGGAGGUUUUUUCCUGGCCGGAGAAUAAUCCAUUUCGGUCAGGUCUAUGAGGUUUGGAUAUUGUUGUCGGGUGGUUGCAACCUCCUCCUCAGCUUUCGGAUUCCCAAUUUGCUUGCCAACAAUAUUCUUCUCGUUCUGUACAUACAUAGAUCGAAGUAAUUAGUCCAUUGCUAGCUAGCUAAUUACAUACUGAUCCAAUUACUUUUUGAUUAAUAAGUAUUCGUUAUUGAUGAACAAUAACCAACCUUUGAAGUGGUGGUAGAAGAUCUCACAGUUAUUAGUUUUCUACUGCUUCCUGCAACAAUAGAAAUGAAGCCACUAAUUAGGUAUGGUCCUUUUUUAUCACUAUAAAGUUUAGUUGCACUAGCAUAAAUAUCAGUUAAUCAUAUACAUAAUGGCUUGUAAAGAUCUAGUAACUAGUACUAAUUAUAACAAGUCAGUAGUUAGACUAUAGUUCAGCUGGGACAAGGGCCUGGGACAACAUGUGUUCUGUAGCUAAAUUGAUUAAUACAUGGUAUUUAAGCUAGAGGGGUUCCGAUCUUCUGAAACCCAACUGAUCUGUCAUGAAGAACGACAUGCAUUAUAGCCGGACAAUCAAAAAAUGAAAAAGCGUCAAUCGAUCGAGAAGAAAGAAAUGGAUCUAUCUAUAUCUAAUCUACUCAUGAAGCUAAGAAGGAAUAUAUGAAUGUAAUUAACUAAUGGUGCUUGGAUCUGUGUCUCCUAGGUCCACAGUAAUCUUCAUGAAUGCUUGGUAACCAGUGGUGUGAGUGUGAUGAUGCGGAGGACUUCUCGGACGACGAUAUCGCUGAGGAAGAAGAAGAUCUAGAAACUUUAAAUUUCUUCAAGCUAGUAGUACCUGAUGAUGAGCAGUGAUCAUCAUGUCCACAAUCUUUUCUGAGUACACCAGAAGCUGCAGUGCUUUCACUUUUUUUGGUUAAAACAGUACUAUCCUCCUGAAACAUUCAAGAACAAUUAUAUCAGUUUUAGAUCCAAACAUAGAGGAAAAGAAAUGUAAGAAACCUCAAAAAGAAAAGACAAAAGGUACCCACAUGAAUAUUCUUGUUUUGUUGUUUAACUGAGAUAAAUCCUUUCUCCAAUCGGAUCCCUUCAAUACAAGAUAACCAGAAACUCACUUCAGAACCAAUUCCAAUUGCAAUGAUAUAUAUAUAUAUAUAUAUAUAUAUAUAUAUAUAUAUAUAUACAUCCAAAACAAGAUCCUGAUUCAUCUCAUACUUGAAAAAUGCAAUUAUAUAUAUAAAUGGUGCAUACCUUGAGCCUGCGGAAGGAGAAGGAACAGAAGAAGAAGAAGAGAGACUGCUAGAGGUGGUGUAGUACUCAUCUGGACUAAGGCUUAGUUAUGAUGAUAUUUCAAAAGAAAGAUUGAAGAUCAAAGCUGCAAUUGCUAGUAGAAUCAAAUAGAUCAAAUAUAGGAAUGAAUGGAUUGGAGGAAUUAGUAAAUGUUGUCAGGAACAAAGAUCUCUUUUCUCUGCAGGUUUCUCUCACUUUCUGUUCAACAAUUUAAGUUCAAGUAGAGGAAGUCUGUGAAUGAAGGAAUGGUACCUAGCUAGCUGCUUAUAUAGUUAAAUACAUAUAGAUAUGUAGGUCCAUAUUAACUUCUCCAACAUGAUCGAGCUUAAUUUAAUGGGAUCAAUUUAUCAUGGAGACCCAAAUCGACCAAAAAUAAAUUAUGAGGACCCGGCAUUGUCGAACAUUAUUAUGAAAAAGGCCAAUAAUAUAUAGGAAGCAUGGGAAAAGUGCAUUUUAUUUGCUUUUCAUUAGUCCCAUCUUUUUGGGGUAUAAUGAGGGUUUUCAUGAAUCCUGAUCGUUCUUCAAAUUCAAAUCUCGUUUUAUAUAAAUACAUAAUGAAAUGAACAGUUUACAGUCUAAUAGCUAGCUAGGCAUGCAUGCCUUUGGAUCUUUUCAGAUCGAGGUAUGAUGCAUCAAUCACAAUAUCACAUUUCAGGUUGUGUCUCAAUUUUCAUGCAACAAACUGGGUCUUUUCGGUUGUGGGAUUAGACUGUCUCAUUAUUUUGGUUAGUCAACGAAGCUACAUGAGGACUUGAGGUAGAAGCACAAGAACUAAUCAUGCAUAUAGAAACAGAAGGUAUGGAUACGACGCCUGCAUUUGAUAUUAUAUCCAUCUUGUGAAAAAUAACCUAUCAGUUACAUGGUAGGGCAUAACAGAGAGAGGGAUGGGACAUUUCAAGAAAGAAUACAAACAAGGCUCUCAUCAUUUCUAUGGGUAAAGGAAAGAAAUUUCACUCUAGGAAGUAAAAUACAUGGUAAACUUGUCCUUCUUUGAUAUCUAGGUCGUUUGUGAGGAUUUCAGUCGCGAAUCGUAUAUCAUAAAUCAAUAUCAUUGCAGCCAUUGCUUCAUUUUUACCAUGAUAACCUAGCUAGCUUUCGAAUUUCUGCCUCCAUAUUUCAACCCUUUCAAAACAAAAACAAAAAAACAGAGCGGGCAGCAGCCCACGCAUCAAGCAACAAGCGCAGUUAAUUUGACGGCGACAGGCAAACUCAGAGCCACCGUUUCUCAUCGCCAAACCACCGACGACCCGACGUGGCAGCAUGUUUCAUGCCUCGGCUACCGGCCCCCGCCCAACCUAGUGGUGGCCAGUCGGCCCACUCCACGUGGACGUCCACAUCCCGGUCACCGCCGUAUCACGAGCCAUGUCUGUUAUUUCGCCGUCACCCAAGCAUCCCCGAUGGGGACCUUGUCGAAACCAAACCUUUCGUCGCCGAUUCUUCUUUUCCGUGGCGAAAUGGUUCUAGGGUUUAGAAACCUUUCGUUGCUUUUGAUUUCUGUGUCGGAUAUGGUUUUAAACACGUUGUUCAUCUCGUAUUCAAAGGAAAAGACAAACAGAAAAAUCAACAUCUUUUGAACAAAGCGAAAUAGUUUUCUUGAAUGAUUAAUCACUCAUCAGUGAAGCUAAAAGCCGAUCUGGACCUCACUAACUUUAGAGAACCUGUUACGGAGCUUGCUAAGUUCUGUUUGUGCUUUCUGUCAUAGAAAAAUGCUCAAGCUGCUAUCAAAUGACCUAACCAGCUAUAUAAAGGUACGCUAAUUAUAAACUAAUCACUCUUAAAGUAUCCUGUAGACUCCUGCUGCCUUUUGUAAAUCCUUUUCAAUUAUCCUCAUUUUGUACGUGCAUCUAAAUUAACUAGUUAAUUAUCAUCGAAUAUGCAGAAAAGAAUGAAUUGAUAUUCUUGUUUAGUCCCUCUCAGGAGUUUCAGGAUCAGAAUAUACAACUAAUCAAAGUGUAGUGACUGUUAUUUGUUGAAUACAAAUGAUUGUUGAAACGAAUUAUAAGAUUUAAAGAGUCAUGGGAUGAAUAUUAGUUAAUGUGUAAGUUACUUUUAAACUAAUCAAGUUGGAUUUGAUUACAUGCAGGUGGUUAUUUACAUAUAGAUUGAGCCGACAGCGAGACAUUACAUGUUUUUAGGGUUGAGCUAAUGUUCGAAAUAGGACCACCAUUGUCAACCGAUUUCAAAGCUGAACAUUUCGUUGAUCUAGAGACAUGUUUUGUGGUGGCGUGUCUGGUUACAAUACUCGUUUACAACCAGAUAAUCCAAUACGAUGAUUUCAUAUAUAUAUAUAUGUUCGAUUAAGACAUAGAUAGUUUAAGAUUUACGUACACCAUAUGUGUGUGUAUAUAUAUAUGUAUAUAUAACAUUUCUUGGAUUUCAGAUAAAGAUUGAGUUUCACACAUAAUGAAAUAAAAGCUACGUACUCGAUAUCUCUACGUGCUCGAUGCAUCAUACCAUUGUAGCACAAAAAAAAAAAGAUAUCUCUACGUGUUAUAAAUCUUGCUCGAUCUCCUGGCCUUUUAUUCCUGAACUUCUCAAACCUCGACUAAUAGUGUUGUCAUUCAUAUGUCGAAGAAAAGGAUCAAAUUUCAUGUGAUCAUCGUUUACCAUACCAAAGAAUUCCUCUCCAUAAGACUAGGUCCUGGAAGCUGGAACAUGCAAGAAAAAAUUGACCAAAAAAAGAAGAAGAAGAAUAUGCACGAAACAUUAGAGCUUGGAAGCGUACAUAGAUUGGGAAUUUGAUCGAGAAUCCUACCACCUUGUUCGAUCACACAUGCAGACAGAAACAAAAACACAGUGCAUGCGGAGGCUUUGAAAUUUAUGUAAACUUGUCCUCCACUACAGGCUACUACUCUUUGCAUUAUUGUUAUAAGGAAGAAAUAUCGUGCUCUCUGUUUGCCUCUUUUUGGUUAUAACUUUUCGGUCUUCGGUCUUCUCAUACUAGAAUUCACGAACUUAAUUACCUAACAUGUUUUGUGCUAGAUUGGCACAUGGGUGCGACCCCAUGCAUGCCAUUUGCCAUGAAGCUCAAGAUCAAGAUCGAAGAAAUUGAAUAGAGUCGAAGAAGAAUACAAGAAGGGAGUACGUUAUACUUCAAUUUAAAAACCAUGGAGCUCGAGAUAGCUGGUGCACAUAGUCAUUUGUCAUACGGUACUUGUUUCUCCAAGUAUAGCCAACAAGGUCUUUAUUUUCGAUUAUAAGGUAUAGUCAACAAGUUUGUGACAUGUGUCGGGCCACACCCGCAACACAAACUCGAAAGUUCAUUGAUUGAUUUGACAAUACUUGGUUUCUUGUCAUCGGAUGGCCUUCGCCCUAACAAAUUGUACUUCAUAUAUUGAUCCAGCUAAUUUACAAGCUAUGUACGUAGUUGGAUAAGUUGUCAUUCAUGUUCGAUUGAGUUCUUAUGAAACUUGAGAAUUAUCAUGACAUCUUUAAUUUAAUAUUACAUCAGUAAGUAAUUAGUUAUUCAUCAAUGGUUGUUACGUCUACUGUACCAAAGGAAACCGAACUAGACAAAUACGUUGAUCUCUUAAUGAGUUCCUAAAAAAAACAUUACAAUUUCUUCAUUCAAGAAACAAUAAUUUACCUUAGAAUGAGCUUUUUCUUUUGUAAUUUGAGGAUACAAUUGAGAUAUAUAAAACUAGGUGUAAUGAAAGCUAUUUUAACGAAAGGUUAAAAGCAUAAAAUCUACAACCACCUUACAGUCUUGAGAGGCUAGCUCGAUCGUCAUUUUACCGUUAAAAUCCAGCGCCACCUAAAUCGCUAAGCCACCCCCCAAAUGCAGCACCCAUUUCCCUCCACUCUAAUUUUGAUUCUUGACAUUUCUGGCUCUCGAUCGUUUAACACUAAUCUUUAUUAAUAUAUCUCUGCUUCAAUGAAAACCUAUUGUUAUUUCAAUUCUUUCAGUCUGUAAUUAUGCGUGGAACUUGUUCCAAUGUCGAUGAUUCCCUUCAAGAACAACCCUCUGAGCAGCCAAUAUUGUAAGUGAAUCAUAUCAGAAUUGUAAAUGCAUGUAACCAAUCAAUAACCAAAUACCCUUUUAGUAGUUCAUCGAGUUCUUAUACUGCGCGCAUGUACUCAGAAUAUGCGAGUGUUCCAAUGAGGGAAAUUGCGGAUGUAGUAAUAAAAGGAUGAUUUCUGCUGGAGAUGUUGGAUUACUUGCUACUUUCGAAUCCGAGAGGGGCAAUGGCCACCUUUUAUCUCUUCUUGUGAGUUUUAUUUAUUUAUUCCAAAGCAUAAACAUUUAACCUAUAUAUACAUGUACUGUCAUAUUGUUCAAUACUUGGUAGAAGUUGGUUGUGACUUGUGAGCCAAUUUGUGGAAGCAAGGGGCCUUAAACGUUCAUAGAUUUUCAAUUCCAUGGCUUUGAAUUCAUGCUUGGCCGUUGGCACAGUGUUUUCUCGGGUUCCAUAACCAGUAUUAUAAAGUUGUAAUACAUGGUGAAUCUUCUGCAGGCAUCUUCAUCUUCAUCCUCAUCCCAAAUAUCACAUUCACAUCAACCUUCAAAACCUACAAGCAGCCAGGUUUCAAACAAGUCAGAAUGUACAUCAUCAAUGGUCGACAAUCAUAACUCGUCGCGAAGACUAAUAGUCCGAAGGAACUCGAACCCUAAUCCAGAAGCUACAAUACGAGGCCUAACAAGUUGCAUGAACACACCGAACCUCGUUAACUCUGGAAAUUGCACCACACUUCUUUUCGGAUCCACUCCUCUUUGCCAAUUCUCUCUUUCUCAAGGUCUUUUUGGGGCGCCUUCGAAUCUUUUCCAGGCUGUAAUGCCUGCCAUUCAGCUUCCCCACGCAAGUGGAGAUUCAACAUCUCAAAUAGAAGAAGCUCCUGCUACUUUUGAUGAUAGUGGAUUCUCUAGUGAGAACCAACUAAUUGAUAUAUGGAGGCAACUCCUCAUGGAAUCGACUCUAUAUAUACACAGGCCGGUUGAUAACUCGUUAGAAGGUUCAAGUAGUUCCGUUUUUAGGGUAACUGCUGACACUGGAUCUGUGGACUUCAGACUUUUAACAGAGGUUUGCCCUAAUUCCUUUCACUACAAAUGUGCAGCAUGUUUAAAUUGAUCUGCAUAUUCGAUUACAUAUUCGUAUAGUCUAAUUCUGCACCUUGAUUGAUUACCUCGUGAAAAUUGCGCAGAACGCUGAAGUUGUUAACCAAUCACUGCUGUACUUUUCAAUCGAAAUGCGCAAUCGCUUUGGAGGCAUGAGGCUUGAUGUGGAUAACAUGUCAUAUGAGGUAGUAUUACAUGAAAGAUUUAGUGAUGAAUAAUGCUUUACCUGUAUGUAACAACAAUGCUUUGUUUCCACUUUUACAGGAGCUAUUGGCUUUAGAAGAUCGUAUAGGGUAUGUCAGCACAGGAUUAUCGGAGGAAGCAGUCGUUGCAUCUCUCAAACUCAGUAAAUAUUUUCUGCUUGCUGAUGAAAAUGCUGAGAAAGAGUUUUGCAGCAUCUGCCAGGUACCUCGUUCAUAAUUUCAUCUUCGUUGGAUUUUAUAUAGUUUCUGUGGCCAAGUAAUGUACAAUGGGAUCGAUGACAGUUACCAUUUUGGUUUUCAUAACAGGAGGAUUUUAUAGAGGAAGAUGAGCUAGGAACAUUGGAUUGCGGACACGGCUUCCACAUUUGUUGCAUCAAACAAUGGCUAGGAUAUAAAAACGUGUGCCCUAUAUGCAAAUCUCCUGCCUUAUCUACUACAUUUUCACAUAUUUAAAUUUUGUGAGGUGUCUUAUGUACAGUACGUAGUUGAGUUUUUUCUGAUAACUAUAUGGUGAGGACUGAGGACUCCAAUGAUUGUUGUGUUUGUCCGGCAUUCUUCACCAGGCUACAUUAGUUUUCCUUUACAAAAUGUACAUAUGUAACAUUUGUUUCUACAUGUACAGAUCAUAUGUGAUGAAAAAUCAUGAUAUCUAUAUCUACAUGCAUAUAUAUAUGUUUAAAUACACAUCCUUAUUUUCUUUUUAACAUGAUAAUUUCCAAAAAGCUCAGGAAUUCGAAUCGAAUAAGAUAAUCUAGUAAUACAACUACUAUUGCAAAACUGAAUCAACCAAGCUUUACGCUUUAGGGUUUAGAAUGCUGGUCUACUGACAGAGAUUUAUUGGCCUUGCAAUCCACGAAUUACGAUGUCGGCAAAGGUAAAGUUACUGCAGGCUCAGAUAUUUUGUCCAUGUCUAUUAAGCACGGUUGCCUUCUACAUUUCGUUUUCCACAACUUGUUUUGCUUUGAGUUGUUACGAGGAGAUGGACUUUGCUUCUUGAUAGAUACUUUUAGGGAAGAAGUUCUGAGGCUCCCAACAUGUGACAUGUGGGGGAACUAAACAAGGAUGAGUUUGGGGUUUGGCCUCAUUGUGGUAUGGGAUUUGACAAGAUAACCAGCACAUACAAGAUGGUUCGUCUUUACCAAAUUACAGAAAAGGGGAGAGGUCGCGGCUGGUAGCACUGGUUCAUGUACUAGGCACAAGCUCAUGGUAUGAGAUACCCGCACCAGCCUUUGCUCCUAAUUGUUUGGAGGAUUGUUUUUGCAGGGAAGGUAUAUGUGCAUAUGGAGACAUGCAUUGGAUGUUUUGCGAAAUUAUUACCAAACCCUACCUGAAUCAUAUAAUUUCUUUUGACUUCACGAAAGAAGAGUUCUAUUCGACACGUACACCUCACCCGGCUGCACUCUCAACAGAGAUGUCUGUGCAAUACAUUACAUUGAAAGGAUCUAUGGCCAUCCUGAAAAUCUCCGAGACUACAACUAUUGACAUCUGGGUAAUGAAAGAUUACAAUACGAAAGAGUGGACACUAGAGUACAACAUAGAUCUCCAAACUCUCGGACAAGAUCUUCUACUUAUGUUAUGUAGUGCUCGCUGUGAUGAAUGGGAGAAUGGCAUAGUUUUUAUAUCAGAAGAGUCAGAUACAUCAUUGUUUUUUGAUUCGAGAGACGUUCCGAUGAACCAUGUAACAUGUCAAAUCGAAGGAAACGAGAGCUGUGAGAAAAUCUUGUGUUUUAAAAGGAGCUUGAUUUGGGAAUUUGGUUGAAGGACCUAAGCCAGGUAGUCAUAGCCUGCUUGAUUUCUCUAGAAAAUACUUAUGGGAGUAACCUGAAAGAAGGAGAUCUUAGCAAGUGGCGGGAUGAUUUGAUAUCAUGGUUAGGAGAACUGUAUUGCCAAGCUCAUAAUAUAUAGAUCGAGUUCUCGCACUUGAUAACUUUGAGUUUGAGCUUAUUUGAUGAAACUGAAAUCAUUUUUUUUUUUUUCCGGCAUGUGAAGGUACAAGGGUAGUUGGCAUACUUGGCAAUCCUUCUAUUUCACAAAACACCUGAAGUUACUAUCAUUUGCCAAGAACAAGUUUUGAAGUCAUUAACUCUCUCAUGGUCUCAGGUAAAUCAUGCAUAUGCAUAGCAUAUGUUUUUCACAGACGUGCUAUCCUAGUUCUGAGUCUUUUGUUAUCUUUGAAUUCAAAGAUUUUGUUAUUAUAUUUUAAUAGAUCUUUGCUGUUUUCAAACUGAUAAUUGGCAACUGAGUUUUGUAAGUGUCUUGGUGCUCAAACCAGUCUAGGGUUGAGAUCUUUUGUUGUGCCAACUCGUGACCAAAUGGUUUGAUGCUCAAGGCUCCAGCUAAGGUUUUAUCAUACAUAAUACAAUGAUAGCUGGUAUGUGCUUGAUUCAAUGACCAGUCACUAUUGGCUGAGUCAUGGUCCUAUAAUGGACUGAGUAUAAGGUUCUAUUACCUUAUUGCUCAUUGAUUUGAAUUAAGCCUUGUUUUGGAAAGAUAGGUUUUGUCUCAUUGAGUUGCUUAUGACAACUCCAUUGGGGUUGCGUCACUUUCAGCUGCAGGAACCAAACAUUUUAGUCCAAAACCUCUUUCAAAACAGUUUGGUAAGUGUGUCUGCAUCUCUUGAGAUGUCUCACUUGCAUAUAUAUUCUUUUAGCUUAAGCUUUGCUCUUCAGUGGUUAAAAACUGUCAUAUUGCGUUUUUUUUGUUGAGUCUAGUUUUAGCUUGUAUUGUUCAUGCUGCUCUAAGUCUUCCUUGUGAUUAUAAACCUUAGAGCUUGAACGAAAACUUCUUUCAUAAACUCAUAUCAUUGUUGCAUACCAUGAGGGAUAUGUAGUGCAACCAACCCGAGAAGUGUUCAAGGUUGAAUCACAGGGCAAACCCUAGCUUCCGAUCAGGUAGGCAAUCUUUCUCAUCUCUCACCUUUUUGUCCGAUCAAGUAGGCGAUCUCUCUCAUCUCUCUCCUCUUUCGAUUUUCAGAGUUCGUCGUAGCUUUUCACAUUUCAGACUUUCCGGCCACCUUACCUAUAUUUUUUUUCUGAAAUUUCAGGGAUGGACAAGUACACUGGUCAUCAACUUGUUUCUGAGUCGAGCAUUGACCAAAUCCACACCACAUUCGAGAAAUCCACAGGGUGUCGUGUCUAGAUUCACGUGUUUAACGACUUGGGACUUGAAAAAGGUAACAAGGAGGAGCAAAUUCUGAGUGUGCUUACCGGUACCAACUAUAUCAUCGAGCUACUUGAGGAGAUCGAGGAGAAGAGUCGCACCCGGCCCGUUAUCGUGUGGCUAGCUCUUCGGUGCUGAUUCUCGUUAAAGAGGUGCUCUCGGAGAACCUCACCGCCUACCGAGCAAGCCUUGGUGGUCGUUUGGCUCAUCAAAGACGAAUUCUAAUCUGUGACCUUCGUCCGGCGAAUAUCAAGGUCUCAUCGGAGGCGGAAAUGUUUCGUGUGAAGAUAUGAGAUUUUGCUGAGGCUAAAUACGUUCCGGUCAUGUCGAUACAAUAAUAAACCAUGAAUGAGGUACUUUGAAGUUAAUUGGCAGACCUAAAAGAUCUCAAUUUGAUUUGUUUUUCUUAAAGAGUUGUUUUUUAAAAAAAAAUAGUUCAAAAACUCGCAUGUCGAGUAUUUUGAGAUAUUCUUUUUAUAGUCUCCCUAAUAACCAGUAAUAAACCAUGGAUGAAUUUUGUUAUGAAGUUGGCAGACCUAAAAUAUCUCUAUUUUGCCUUUCAACCAUAUGUUUUAGUCCAUGUCUUUCAAGUUUUUUUAUGAACAUUUCUUUCGCAAUUAUAGUGAUCUUAUUACAUCCAACUUUCAAUAUAUAAUUGAAACUAAGACAAAUUUCUACGCUAACUUUUCUAAUGUUGUGAUGUAUAAGAUUUGUAGCCGAGACACAUAUGAACCAGGAGUCAUCAAGAAGUCACCUUCAGCUCACAGUGCGCAUAUGUGGUAUCAGUGAGGUUUGUUUUUAACUGUAGUGAAGAUCAAGUUUCUCUGUUUUCAUGUAUGCUCUUGUUUAGUUGUUUGCCUUAUGGUUGUGAUGUUAUACUUUUCAAACCUUGUUAAUCUUACAGGAAGUGAGUGAUCAGAUGAAAUUGGAGACCGUAUGGAAGAAAGUAGGCUUUGUAUCUACAUAACUUGGUUAUUAUUUUUCUAAUGUGUUGAGACUGUGAUCUCACUAUUUUUCUAGUAAUAACCAUGCUAUAUAUCAAAAAUAAUGGGUCACCUUUGAUAGGUAAUCUGAAUAUCUUGAAGACAUCUUCAAUUGUGAUGGACCUCUCCUUUUAGCCGAACACAAAGGCUUCACAUCCUAAUGUCGGAAAAGAAGCAUAAUAUCCAAUUUUGAUUUGCCAAUGGGCUUCUCUUCAUAAAACGACCUAAUCAUCGACCAGAAGACCGUAGUCUUCAACAACGCCCAAGCCUCUGUUGGAAUCAGUUCUUCAUAAAAAAAAUAGUUUAAAAACUCGCAUGUUAAUUUUAAUAAUAUUUCAAAAACUCGCACGUCGAGUUUUUUGUUAUCGUCUCACUAAUAACCAGUAAUAAACAAUAGAUGAAAGUGGCUAUGAAGUUGGCAUACCUAAAAGAUCUCAAUCUGAUUUGUUUUUCUUAAAAUGUUGUCUAUUUUAAUAAAUAGUUCAAAAACUCGCAUGUCGAGUGUUUUGAGGCAUUCUUUUUAUCGUCUCCCUAAUAACCAGUAAUAAACCAUGGAUGAAUUUGGUUAUGAAGUUGACAGACCUAAAAGAUCUCUAUAUGAUUUGUUUUUCUUAAAGACUUGUCGAUUUUCAAAAUAGUUUAAAAACUUGCACGUCGAUUUUAAUAAUAGUUCAAAAACUCGCACGUCGAGUUUUUUGUUAUCGUCUCACUAAUAACUAGUAAUAAACAAUGGAUGAAAGUGGCUAUGAAGUUGACAGACCUAAAAGAUCUCAAUCUGAUUUGUUUUUCUUAAAGACUUGUCGAUUUUCAAAAUAGUUCAAAAACUCGCAUGUCGAUUUUAAUAAUAGUUCAAAAACUCGAAUGUUAAAGUUUUUGUUAUCAUCUCACUAAUAUCCAGUAAUAAAUCAUGGAUGAAAGUGGCUAUGAAGUUGAUAGACUUUAAAGAUCUUAAUCUGAUUUGUUUUUCUUAAAGACUUGUCGAUUUUCAAAAUAGUUCAAAAACUCGCACGUCGAUUUUAAUAAUAGUUCAAAAACUCGAAUGUCAAAGUUUUUUUAUCGUCUCACUAAUAUCUAGUAAUAAAUCAUGGAUGAAAAUGGCUAUGAAGUUGACAGACCUUAAAGAUCUCAAUCUGAUUUGUUUUUCUUAAAGACUUGUUGAUUUAAAAAAUAGUUCAAAAACUCGCAUGUCGAUUUUAAUAAUAGUUCAAAAAGAGGUUUUUUUUAUCGUCUCACUAAUAACCAGUAACAUGCCAAACUUAACAAAAGCUCGCGGGUCGAAAUUUUUGGGGAUUAAACCCUAAAGGAUUGUUUAAAAAUCAUGUUUUACUAACUCUAAAAGACACCGCCACACCUCUUUAACCCUCUUUAACCUGCCACACAACCAAACCAUAACCCUAGCUUUCAGAAAUGAAGUGAUACACUGAUGUCAGUCUUGCGUCAAAAACCCACAUCAUUCGUGUGAGACAUGACAUUGAAGUCAAUAUAAAAGUGCAACUAUGCUCUUACCGGCAGUUCCCCCCACACAUGAGGCCCUUUUGUUUUAAUUUUAUCCAAUCUCCUGUUAAAUGCAUCUGAAACCGACUUGAAUUCUGCUGUCAUACAGUUUUGAGAUUGUGCGUCAAAACCUGCACAUCACUUCUGAUACCGUCCCUCAACGCCCCCUUCAUCUCGUCUUGAAAGCCCCCAUACAGCUCUUCAUCUCGUCCUUGAACCCCCCCAUAUCACUUUUGAUCUCGUCCUUAAACGCCCACACAUCAAUCUUCACCACCCCCACAUCAGCUUUCGUCUCCAGGGCUAGCAGAGCAUUCAGAGACGACAGAUGAUUCAUUAAUUCGGCUUCCAAACUGAGGAUUCUUGUUGUGUAACCUGAACCGUAGAGUAGCUUCACCCAUAACGCGCUCUUCUUAAUUUCCUAUCUGAGUUGUUUCCCUUGCACAGGGUUAUUUUCUAAUCGAGCUAUCAAAUCUGGAGAAACUUGAGUACCAGCACCGUUCAGCUUGCCCACCACCUCUGUCACAAGCUUCCCUGCCACUUCCAGCCGCUCAAUUCCAUUCUUCAACUUCUCACAUUUGCCACACUAAGUCUUGCAAAUCUCCAGAGCUUUGGUUAAGUCCAUCAGCAUGUUGAAAGCGGAUGCGGUGCUCUCGUAGGUCGCCACCAUUUCGGGAUGAGAUGAGUGAAGCGGAAGCUCAAUGCCGAUGCUGAAGCGAUGCCGAUCCCGAAGCGAUGUUGAUGCCGAAGGAAAAAGGAAGCGAUGGUUUUUAUAGUCUAGGGUUUCUGGCUUUUGGGCAUUUGGUUGGCUUAUGCCCAAAACCAUGAGUGUAAGUCUUAAUUCAAAGAGAAAUUCGUUUGAAUGGUAUACGAACUUUUGCUCCUUAUAAACUUUGGUAUAUCAAGUUUGAAAAAUAUCAGAUUGGUGUUUAAUGUUUCCAUUUCGACCUAAGAUUAGUAUAUACAGCCAUUCAGAUUAUUAAUUUACUCUCAGACCAAAAAAAACAAACCAAUUUACCCUUAAAUUAUCUUUUUUUUCUUAGUUUUUCUUCUUUGUUUUCAUAUUCCAAUUUUUUAAAAAUUUUUUUAAAUAUUUUUAGGAACGUAGAGAAAAAAGUCAUCGUCACUUUCUAAUAAUCAGUUCUUUAUCUCAAUCAUCCUUGAAUUGAAUGUCAAUGACAACAACAAGAACUUCGAGUGUCAACGGAAACAACAAGGAUUAAACUUCUGUAUGUUUCCCCUCUUCAAUUUUCUUCAAGUUUAUAAAGGUUAACCUAAAUCAUCAAAUUCCAAAAUCUCUUCUAAUAUUUCUUGAAUAUGAAAACAAAUUAAAAAAAACUAAGAAAAAAAAAACUUAAAGGGUAAAUUGGUCAUCUUAAUGGCUCUAUAUACCAAUCUUAGGUCGGGAUGGAAACAUGAGAUACCGUUAUUAUAUUUUCAAAACUUGAUAUACCAAAGUUUAUAAAGAGCAAAAAUUCGUAUACCAUUCGGAUGAGUUUCUCUAAUUCAAAUAAAAAGAUUAACAAAAUAACAAUCUUCGAUAUAAUAAGAUGACUCAUGUAUGUUAGUGGCAGCUUCUCCCUACAUUGAUACAACAAUUCAAAAAUUUACACUAAGCUGGUACUUUUAGGCGCUUUUAUGAUGUGGAAAUCGGAUGUUUAUCAAUCAAAUCAUAAAGCUCAUCCUCAAUUCCAAACCCAAGCAUUCUAGCCAUGUCACUAGUCUUCAAUCUAGGCUUGGGAAUGUUAUGUUGCUUCAGCCACAAGUAGAUGACAAAAACUUUCUGCAUAACAAACAAUUCUAGUGCCUCAGGAUUGAACACAACACCCAUCCUCAUAUUCAUCUGCAAAUUCAGAUUCCAAAGGUCAUGCCAUUAGCUAAAUUAACAAGCCUUUUUUGGUCUCUCAAGCUGACAUUAUAUUUGUUAUUACCUGAUGUGGCACCAACAUGGCAGCAUAACGAGCUAGCUCUCCGGCUCGCCAGUCCAAGAGCACAGGCAACCAAGGAUAAGCAGCAUCAAGUCUCACAAACCAUAGUCUUAUAUCAGGAAACUCGGAUAGCUCUCGAGGAUCUCGAGGAUCUUCUCUUGUGUAGUUAAUGGUAAAACCAAUUGUACGCUCAAGGUACUCUUUCGGCUUGGCUACACAACACAAGUGGCAGGACAAAAUUUUCAUGUAAAAAUUCUACAUACAGAAGUGUGAGUUUCAGUUCAAUUUGUACAUUAUAUGUUGCUUAAGUACCUGAUGAAGGAUUGGUAAUGCCAGUUGCAGUAUGAAAUGGAGUUAAGUCGAGACGACGAAUUACGUCAUUGUCAAUAACAAUCUCGAAUCUGCCUUCACUUGGUGGCAUUGGAGGCUCAACCUUAGAUGUGUCUGUCAAAUAUGCACCACAAAAGCAACUUAGAGCUUGGAUAAAGGGAUGAACAAAAAAGCACCACAUGACUUAAAAAUUUACCAAUAACAGUUAGCUUUUGAAGAAAAACAAGGGCUUUGUUAGUUGUUACCUUCAUCAUCAUCAUAGAGAGAUAUGUCAAAAUUCCCAGAAGGGUUGAAGGCAACUGAGACAGCUACUUGGCCUUGCUGCCUAUACAAGUGUGAAAUAGGCAAAGAGGCCAUGGAGUCUGAGAUGGGUCUGGAGGGAGUGUUCCAUGGAUUCUGCCUUGAGCUUGAAGAAGAACAAAUCGGAAGCAGUGUUUGGAAGACUGCAGCCAUUGCUUAAGUUGUGUGAGCUAUGAACUGGAUAUAGUCUGUGACAGUUGAUGCAUGCAUUGUAGCCUUGUGUUUUCUGAAUGUUCAUAUCCCUUUAUGGGAUUUGUAUAUUCCAGAGUCCAGACGUCUCCUUCUAUACCAUACAACUCAUUCAUUAUCCUUUUGCUCCUUAUUCUUUAACUUGGGUUGGCCACAUGCCAUUUCAUGAAUUCAGUGUCCACACCUGCCUUGAAUUUAGGCCCAACAUUAGUUGCUUAAUGUUAUUCAAGUUUAAAAUGUUUGAUAAACCGUCCCAAGUUUCAUUCCAAAUGCCGAGAUUGUUUUUGUUUGUAACGGUAAUUCUUCGUGUUUACCAACAGGAAGGUGGAGCGUGAAGGCAGCGGCCAACCCCAUUUCCAAAAUGAUGAGUUCAUUCUUCAUUUCUUCAUAUGGAAUGAGGCACUGAUAACAUAUCAAAUUAAAUCAGUUGACGUUACUGUCAUUAUAAUUUUCAUUGAGCUAAUGAUAUGAUUUAAGAAAAAAAUUGUAGGUAUUCGAUUUCGUGUUAUGACUUCUGACCGUUGUGAAUAAGAAGAUUUGAGUUGUUUAAUCGUGUGGAUUCGUCCUCAAGAUUUUUGGCUGUCAAUAUUCGGUUGCUGCCACAUGGAAGAUUGAAGUUAGUAGCCAAAGCAUUCUCUAUUAUUAUAUAUGGAAUAAAAUGUGAAGUGACACCAUUUAAAGGACGUGUUGCGAUAAUACCUCACACCACAUUCCUAAAUAUCAUGUUACCAAAUGACCAAAAACUCCACUCAGUUAUCUUUCAAUUUGUUUUGUUAAAUGACUUAAAUCAAAGAUAUAUGAUAAUUAAGGAUUGAUAUCAAGUGUUUUAAAGAAAGGACGUUUCACCCAAUUUAGCUCUUCAAGUCUUCACAAAACACCUCUUUUCAAAAAAUCUCAUGAUACAAGUAACAAUUAAUUUGCAAUGACUCGAAUGUGAUAUUCAAUGCAUUAAUUAUGUGUAUUGAAUUUCAUCUUAACGAAUAAAUAGAAAUGAAAUAUCUAACGGGUCAUAUCAGAAGUUUUAAGUAAUAAGAUUAUUUGUCAUUCAUCCAACUCCAUCACUAUUGUAGACGCAAUUCUCAUAUGCCAUAUUUCAUGUGAUGGUAAUCGUUUGAUGCAACAAUCCACAUGCCAUACCAAACGGCUACACAUAAAUAUAGACAAAAUAGGCUAUACAUACGGUCCUAAAAAUGAACAAGUUCAUCAUGUACUGGUGUAGUAUGAAUGGUCAUGUAAAGAACCCUACAAAAGACCAUUUGGUGACCACAAGGGCAGAUCCAGCCUCUUGUGGGUGGGGCUCAAGCCCAACCAAAGAAAUUAGGGGAAAAAAAAAAAAAACUAGGUAUAGAUAUACUUUUUUAGGUGAUAUAUCAUAUAUGCCCAGCCACCAAGUGACCAACCCAACCCACCCAACUAUCCAACAUAUUACCCAACAACCCAAGUCCAUAAAUCCACAAUCAUCACUCAUCCACCAAGUCAACUUCCUUCACCGAAUGAGUCCUUCAACUUAAACACUAAUAGUCUAAAACACGUAUGACCUCACCUGCUGUUCCCCUCCGCCUCCAGCCCUCCACUCACCUAUCCGGCUAUCCCUCUUCCCCUCCGCGGCUCCGCCUCCACUCCUCCACGGCUCCACCAUAAUCUCCUUCUUCCCGGCCUCCUCCGAUCCUCCUUGAUAGUGACGACUCGCCUCCGGUCCUCCGCCUCCACUCACCCACAGAAAUUAGGCAUAAUCUCCUUCUUAUAUAGAAUAUGAAAUUGUAAGUUCUGGUUGAGCUCCUACACUUUGCAUGGUUGUACUGGAAAAAAAAUUUUGCCUUCGACCAAAGUUCAAGCCCACCCCAUAUUUAAAUCCUUAAUCCGCCAUUAACCACAAUUCGUUGCUUUCAUUUUGGCUUUUGUUUUACCAUGUAAAUCAAAUAUCUUGCUACAUUAACGUACAAGACUUUAGUACUCGUAAUCAAGUAGAAGGUCAAGUUAAUAGUCACGCGUUUCAAAUUUCUUCUUCACUAAGAUAGUCUAGAUGUAGCUUCAAACCAAUCAUGAUUUCAACUAAUGGUGACCAAUAUAUCUUAAUUAGCACUACUACUCAAUUAAUAUAAUUUCUCAUCCACCACAAAUAUAAUCAUGUAUUUCCCAACAAACUAUCUAUAAAUAUACGGCAAGAAUGGUGAAAGACCAAACGGUAUUUGUAUGCAAAUAUAUAAUCAGGUAAUCUAAAAUAUACAUUUUUCCUAAAAUUUUAUAUGAAACAUCUAUAAUCUUCAUUCUUUUUGUCAUAUAUCACAUUUCCAUCAAAGUACCACAACUCUUCAAAAAAGGUAUGGCCGAUACUAACGUAAGUUUGGUAGAUCUGAGGUCUUAUUUUUUAAAAUUAUGAGAUUUCUCGUAAGUAGUAUUACAGACCGAUCAAAGUAUAACCUCGAAUGUAAAUGCAAAACACCGUAACCGACAAAUCCGCACAUAAAUAGACAACUCAAUUCUACAACUCUAAAAAGAAAGGCAGAGUAUAAUUCAUCUCAAAAAAUCUAAAAUAAAUUCAAAUAAAAUAGAAAAAUAGUAACUUGAAAUUGAAAAACUGAAAAAUGAAUUAAGAAAAAAAAUGUCUAAAAGGGCAUUAUUGUAAGGACAGAAAUACCGACAGAGAAUAUAGAUAGCAGUCUUGACCGACUAAGUCCCUCUCUCUCUUUUUUUUUUUUUUUUUUGGUACGAAAAGUCCCUCUCUCUCUCUGCCACUCUGUUUCUCUCGCACUCGCUUAAACACAAACAGACGCUUCCCUUUCCAAAACCAAACCAACAAACGUGGCUUUCCUCAGUUUCGCUUUACCUUCUUCACAUUCCCCUCUUCCUUCUUCUACCCUUUCACUCUCUUCAACCCAGAACCCAAAAUGUCAACCUUCACCUCCAAAAAACUGCUCCUUUGUCUCACCCUCUUCCUCUUCAUCGCUCUCACUGCUGGAAACACUCACAUUUCUCACACACUUCGAGGCAAAGGUACUUUCUUGAAGAGUUUCGCUUAUGUUCUUGUUCAUAGUGUAAUUUUCUUAGUGUGUUUCGCUUAUUUGUGUGUUUUGUUUUUGAAUUUUGUUGGUUUGGUGCAGAUGGUGGUGGUGGUGUUGAGAGAGGUGUGGUGGGAUUGGACACAAGAAGGUCUCUUGUGGAUGAGAAUCUGCAGAACUCGUCUCUGAUUCUGGCGGAGGAGAGGACUCGCAGGAGGGACCCUCUUGAUGAUUUUCACAAGUACACUGGUGGUUGGAAUAUCAGCAAUGAUCAUUACUGGGCUGUGAGUUGUUGUAAUCUUUGUAUUGUUUUCAUUUCUGGGUUGUUUUCUGCUUUUGGUUUUGUCAUUUGGGUUUCACUUUGAUUAUGAAUAAUUGUGUAGAAAGAUAAAAACUUGGACUUUACAUGUGUAACUGAAUUGUUGAUUUGCUUUAGAGCUGUUGUGGAUGUGUAGGACCAAUUAUGAACUGAUGGACUUUGUUGGGUUUUGCUGAUAUUGUGUGGGGUCUUUUGUUUCUCAUAUCCUGCUUCUUUUUAUGUUUGUGAUUGAAAUAAAUGUGUUGAAUUUGUUGUUGUUUUAAUGGUGAUGGUUAAUUUGUGGUGUAGUCUGUUGCUUGGACUGCGGUUCCUUUCUUUGUUGUUGCUGGUCUGUGGUUCGUGAUCUUUGGGCUGAGCUUGACGCUUAUAUGUUUCUGUUACUGCUGUUGCCCAAGAGAGCCUUACGGUUAUUCUAGAACAGCCUAUGCGCUCUCUCUCAUAUUGCUGAUUUUCUUCACUGUCGCAGCAAUGUAAGUUCUCUCUUGCUCUCUCUCAUACUCAGGGGAGUAAUGUCUGUGUUCAUAUGAACUGAUGGUUUCUUUGAAUGCUUUAUGGUCAUUCUAGUGUUGGAUGCAUUGUGCUGUACACUGGUCAGGCAAAAUUCCACAGCAGUACAACAAAGACACUCAAUUAUGUUGUGAGUCAGGCAGAUACAACUGUUGAGAACCUCCGGAAUUUGUCAGGUUAUCUUGGUGCAGCUAAGCGGAUUGGAGUUGACUCUGUCUUUCUGCCAUCAGAUGUUCAGAGUAACAUUGACACAACUAUAACAAAACUCAACUCUGCUGCCACUAAACUCUCUAAUACAACUGAAAAGAAUUCGAAACGUAUAGACGAUGGACUUGAUAGCAUGUAAGUAAAUCCUACAAGUUAUUGUUCCGUGGACUUCGAUCACAAUGCCUUGGAUAACAUUUAUGUUUUGCUAUGUUUCACAGAAGACUGGCUCUCAUUGUCAUUGCUGCUGUUAUGCUCUGUUUGGCUUUUAUUGGAUUUUGUAAGUACUUUUCUUUUCUUUUGAUCAGAGGUAAAGAUUUUGGAGAUCGGACUAUUAGCAUCAAAUCAUUCUCUUUUCUUAAUACUUGUUGCAGUAUUCUCAGUUUUGGGGAUGCAGGCUUGUGUAUACUUGUAAGUGAAUAUCUUGAAACUUUUCUUUUUAUUUCAUCUCUUAUAUAAUGCACCUUAAACAUUUAUCAAACAAACACUUGCAAACUUUAUGCAGCUUGGUGAUUUUUGGAUGGAUUCUUGUUGCGGGCACAUUCAUUUUGUGUGGUAUAUUUCUUCUCGCCCAUAAGUAAGUAAUAAUUAUGACUACAUCUAAUAUUAGUUUACAUAUGUAUUGGAUUUUCAUGUUGCCCUUUAUUUUUAGAUGUUAAUUUCAUCCUGUUAGAUAUAACUAAAUGACUUCAUUAUGGUUUUAGAUUCUCUAUAGUCAUCAGACCUAUUAGAUAAAAUUCUGAUACAUAAAUGAUUCUGGGAGAUAAUAUUAUUCUGUUCUUCUUUUAACAUGUUCUUUUAGAGGCGAAUGUUAUAGACUCCAACUAAGUAUAUUAGUACCUUCAAGUUUAGCUGCAUAGAUGCAUCUUCAUGCAUAUGUAUCGUGUUUGAAGUUGGACAUGCAUAACUGUUGAAAUCGGAUAGGGCUUCAUUUCCUUGCACAUCUGUAAAGUGCAAACAAAUUGAAGUAUUCAAAUUAUUUGACAGUUGUUGAGUAUGAAGAGAUAUUUAUGUGUGGAAGCUGUACCUUAUAAGUUCUCUCAGAGACUGUUGUAGAUACUACCUCUCAUUUGGAUACACUGGAUAUAAAAUUUCAUCAAAGAGUUUUUAUAUAAACAUAUUAGGGGCUUAUCAAUUAUGCUUUUAGCUCACUUAAAUAUGUCUCUUUUAAAGAGAGAUAAAAAAAAAGAGGAGCAUUUCAAGUCUUUCGAGUGUGUUUGGUUGGAUAGAAAGGCUGCUCUUAGAUAUUCUGUCCACCUAGAAAACUGCACUAGAUUCAAGGAAAAUAACAAAUUUGAAGUCAUUUUUUUAAGCUGUUCCCUUCUGUACGUUCUUUAAUAACUGUAUCCAAGUUCAUUUUUGCACUAUAAUUGCGUACAGUUGGGUUGUUGACGUUGGUACUAGAAAAGGAAGUAAACCUCUUUGAACUUUGAAUGGAUGAAAUAACUUGUGGAACUCAUGACUGUUCCAUUUUCUCACCAUCUAACUUGUUUUUGUUUGUGCGUAGUGUGGUUGCAGAUGCAUGUGUUUCCAUGGAUGAAUGGGUUCAGCACCCCACUGCCCAUACUGCUUUAGAUGAUGUACUCCCUUGUGUUGACAAUGCUACUGCUCAAGAGACCUCAUCACGCACCAAGGAUGUAACCUACAAACUUUCGAGCAUGGUAGACAAGGUCAUCAACAAUAUCUCAAAUCUUAACAAUCCACCACCCCAACUUGGACCGAUAUAUUUCAAUCAGUCUGGCCCUCUAUUACCUGCUCUUUGCAACCCAUACAAUGCUGAUCUCACUGAUCGAAAGUGUGCCCUUGGUGAGGUGGAGCUGCAGAAUGCCACACAGGUACUGUUAUUGAAGUAUGCUUUAUUCAGUAUCUACAGGACUAGUAAUGUUUAUGUCAGCAUCAUAAGUAGUAACGUACUGAACUUUGUUUUGAGCAGGUGUGGAAGAGUUAUGUGUGUGAGAUUAAUACGGCAGGCAUCUGUAUAACCCCUGGACGGUUGACUCCCAUCUUUUAUGACCAAAUGGAAGCUGCAGUAAAUGUGACUUAUGGUUUGUAUCGUUAUGGUCCAUUCUUGGUUGAUCUGCAAGACUGUACGUUUGUCAGGGACACAUUCUCCAACAUAAGUAGCAGGAAUUGUCCUAGCCUUCGGAAACAUAGCAGCUGGAUCUACAUUGGGCUGGUAAUGGUAUCUGCUGCUGUCAUGUUAUCAUUGAUCUUCUGGGUAAUCUACGCAAGGGAACGAAGGCAUCGCGUGUAUACCAAGCAGUUUAUGGAAGGCACAGGGGGAUUCCAAGUGCAAGACAAGGGUGCCUAGAGAUUCCAUGUUUCAGUGAAUCUUAAGAGGUGUCUGUACAUUAUGUCAGUUAUCUAUAGGCUUGAUUGCUCGAGUAAGAGACAUGGUAGUAGUAUUGUUGAGCUAGCUUCAUCCCUUGCGGUGAUUAUUAUUAGAACUCAGUGAGAUAUAUUAGUAGUAUUUUGGAGCUAGCAUUAUCCCUCUGUGAUUAUUGUUUCUCUUAUUGCCAAUGGAAGCAGAGUUGAGAUUGAUAUGAUAUGCUUUUUACUUUUUCUAGAAUGCAAAACAGGCUAAAUGGGUAGCCCAAACCCAGAAAGAGCAUGAGCAUAUGUUUUGAGAAGAGUGUUGCAACUUUCAAGGAAGCUGUAAAUGUGUGAGAGAGGUAUGGACUAUGGAGGAUAGGUGACAUUUACUUCAUUCUCCAUUUGAAGCUGUAAUGGUGCACUGCAGGCAGAGAAAAUUCGACCUUGAGUUUUCAAAAUGAGCCGUAAUAGGAAUUUAUGGGGUCCAAUCUCCAAAGAGUUAUGAGCCGUAAUAGUCCUUCCACUCCUUGGAUAUUCAAGCCUUUCAGAGAGGUAGAUAUCUACUUGUUCUUAUUCAUACCAAAAGUGAUCAAGGACAAUCAUGCUGAACUUUUCUCACUUAAACCAUGAUUGUAUGCUUUCUUAUUCUCGUACCGAAAUGUGAUCCAUGGUUUUCAUGGUGGAUUAAUGCAUCCAACCUAGGACAGUAAUCAGAACAAUCCAAGGUGGAUUACCACACAACAUCACAUUAAUUCCAUGUUCUAGUUUUGUUCGACUGAUUUUUGCCUCUAAUGUUGGUAGGCUAUGUAAAUGAAAUGUUAACAACUCAAAUAUGGUGUCUGCCAAACUUAAUAAAAGCAAAUAAAAGAACGAAUCAUUAACUAGUUCAUGAUUUAAAGAGUAAUAUUUAUGGGGUAACGAUGUGAAAUAGCUCAUCAGGACUUCACUGAUACCGAUCCUCAUCCUCUAGUUGCUCCUUAAGCUUCUCUAUAUGGUACUGAGUAGUGAGUUGUUUGUUCCUAAGUGAUUAUUUGAUUCCAAGAGGUGAGUUUUCAGUCUAAUAUGACCGGCUUGGUUAUAUACCAUAAUUACUGAUCAUAAGGUUUGAUUUAUGUUGCAGAGGAUCCGUCAAACUAAUACCCAUUUGACGGAGGAAGAGCUUGAGGACUUAUGUACAUCCUGUGGUCUCACCAACUAUUCUAUCAAAGUGCAGCAAUCUUUCAUAUCAUGUUUUCUGCUCAGAAACCAUGAGUUAAGUUCUCAGAAACCAGAAUCGAAGACUAGGUUUGAGCCAUUUAACUACCAUUUCUCUGUACAUGGAUCAAUAUUAGAUUCUUGUUUUGUUAUGUGACCAAGAACAUAGUCUCUUGGUUGAUUUUAUCCUCUUCAUUUUGGGUUCAUAACUUCAUAUAUGCUUCUCUGGGUCAAUCUCUUAUGGGCUUUCAAUGAAGAUGUAUUGGAAGAGUGAGCAGUUGGACAAAAUCAAAGAUUAGAGGAGAGGAUCCGUAUACAAGAUAAACAUGCAUUUUCAGACGUGAGAAGUUGUCAUACAGCUUCACACAAAAGAGCUUGGCAUAGAGCUUCACACGGAAAGUGUUAUCACAAAGCUUCACACCGACGAAAUUUCAUAUGCAAACAUGGAUCCUAAAAUUUACUUCCCUAACUACUACAGAAAAAGUAAAAAAGAGCAAGGAUUUUUCACUCCUUAGACACUCAAAUUAAAGAUCUUCAACCAAAUUGUUGUUAUUGUUUAUAGUAAGACAAAUGAAUUAAAAUUGGGCCCUCAUUUCCGUUGUCAUUCAAGAACUCUAGCUCCUUGCACUACAUACUGGUGUUUAUUGUUGCGGAGACUCGUACUUAAUUACUGAGGUGGUUGUGUCUGUAUUUUUUUUUUUUUUUUUUUUAAUAGCUGAGGUUGCCAUUGCGGCUACAGUUGUUGUGGUUGUGUUUGUUGAAAACACUAAUGCUGCUUCGUACAUAUAUACACUACUUGAUCACACUCCUUUCUCAUUGCCAAAGACAGAAAGAAAGAAUCAUACACUGCCUAAUCCUUGUCAGUUUAAAAAAAAGAAAAAAGAAUCAUACACUGUAGGACCUUAGCAGCAGCUAGCUAUAGCAAUUAAUCAAUCAAACUUCAUGGUGAUGGCUCCCUCAUCUCUCAACGAAUCGGUACUGCCUUCUGAUAUUUUCCUAUCACUUGCAUUUUCUGUUACAUAUUAAUUAGUCCUAAUUUAGAGCAUUUAAAUUUUGGAAUGUUCGAAAGCAGAGCGCAGAAGUUGAGUUGUUAUCCUGCCCGGUUUGCUAUGAACCACUAACACGAGUAGGCCCUCCUGGUCUAAUCCUGUGAGUACUCAAAUCAGUAGUUAGUAGUUGAUAUAUUACCGAACAAGGCAAAGUCAUUGUGCUUAAUUGUAUAUGAUGCUUACAUAAUUUGUUUCUCUUUUUUUGCUUGGCAGGCAAGCAAUUUGCAGGUCAUCGUUCGAGUGCAAGAAAUGCUACAAGUCUUAUUCCAGUAAAAAGAACUACUUGGAUCUCACUGUUACUGCUGGAUUGAAGAAGUACGUUGAAGCGAAACCAAUUGGGACUGAGCUAUUUAGGAGUAUUAUCAUGUCAUUCAUCUAUGAAAAGGGUUAUCGUCAGUGUUUCAAACGAUAUGGCUUCCCUGGUCCUGAUGAAGAAGUAUGUUCUCUCAAUUGCUUAACUUCAUGAUCAAUAUUUUUCUUAAAAUUGCUUCAGCUCUUUAUACUUGCCUAUUACAGCCAACGUUCUUCUAUAUGUAUGUGUACACUUACUGUACAUGUAAGACUGUAAGUUACAUGAUGCUUUUUAUUUCUUGCACACAGUUUAAAAUGGCUCAGGACUACUUUAAAUCCGCUGAAGGCGGUGUUUUAGUGGAUGUUAGCUGUGGGAGUGGUUUGUUCGCGAUAAGAUUCGCCAAAUCUGGGACAUAUUCUGGAGUUGUGGCACUUGAUUUUUCUGAAAAUAUGCUUCUCCAGUGCUAUGAUUAUCUUAUGAGAGACCCUGAUACUCCUUUGGCUACGUAAGUUUGUUUGCUGCUCUCACUCCAGUUCUUACAAAAUUAGAUGUCUAUCCUAACAACUGCAAGUACAAUUUUAACAAGUGCAGUGAUCUCGUUCUUGUGAGGGCCGAUGCUUCUAGGCUUCCAUUCACAUCAUGUUCAGUUGAUGCUGUCCAUGCCGGCGCUGCAUUGCACUGCUGGCCAUCUCCUUCUAAUGCUGUAAGUGAUUUUCGCCUUCAAAGUUACUUGCGCGUUCAUAUAUGGUGCUUUUUUAUUUAGUUCUCAUACAUUUCUCAGGUUGCUGAAAUCACUCGUGUAUUACGAAGUGGUGGCAUCUUUGUUGGAACCACAUUUCUGCGGUCUAGUCCUUCCUGGAUAUUCAAGCCACUCAAUGAGGUAAUAUGCAUUCUCAUACAUUACUGGUCAGUGAUUUCAAUCUUGGCAGGAUGGAGAGCUCUUGGUGUUUAACUAUUAUGAGCUUUUUGAGAAGGAUCUGUGCAGGUGAAACUUGUAUUCAUUCAAAUUCUUAGUUGGUUUUAAGGUGUUGAUUUGUGUGACAGAGGAUUCUUCCCAGCGGGAACUAUUUUACGGAGGAAGAAAUUGAGGACUUGUGUACAUCAUGCGGUCUCACAAACUACACGAGCAAAGUUGAGCAAUCUUUCAUCAUCUUUUCUGCUAAAAAACCUUGAAGACCACUAGCUAGCAUGUUCAUUGGUGUGCCAUAACGAUGUAUAACGGUAAAAUAAAUUUGGGAAAGUUAUAUCCCAAUGUUUUAUUUUCUUGUUUUUCUUGAAUGUAAGCUAUUUAUUCCUAUUACCGAAAAGCUGUGAGGAUAUCAUAUAGAGAUAUGCCCUGUUUAAUAGGAGUGAGAACAACGCAAGGGACAUCACUCAUUCCCGUUCCAGAUCCCAUGUUUUUAAGUUAUGUUGUGAGUUGUGACUUGUGAGAAUGAAAACAUCUACUCAAAACAUUGUGUCACGAGUCUUUUAAAAAAAAACAUUGUGUCAUGGAGUCCAUAUCAAUUUCAAGAAUAACUACGCAAAUUUGGACAAAAUAUUUAACAAGAUAUCUUUUAUGCUUCAUUGAAUCUCUUGAUUUUAUUGUUAUCCAAAAGAAAAAUAAACAAAACGAUGACAAUCUACCGAUUAAUACUUUUGUUUGAAAACACGUAUAAGAAAACCAAUAAAAAAAAGAUGCACCAUCGUUCCUCUCAUCUUAACGUAGAGUUUAGUCUUGAUUUGUUCAAGAGUGCGCACAAGAGGUUCUAGUUAGCCAGGACAAUCUUUUUGCGACGCAAUAUAUUGCAAUGCUGAUAAUAUGAGGAGCAUAUUAUACUUUCGUAACUGCCACCGUCUCCAUACACUUCCAAAGUUCCGACUCGUCACUCACUCUCUCACCAAAAGCCAAAGCAAAACAACAAAACAGAACACACUUCGCAUACACUCACAAACGUAUGGAACUCCUAUUACUCUCCCCUAAUCUCAAAACCAGAAACACAAACAAGAACAAACCACAGCACAGAAUCAAAUCUUCAUGGCCACGACGGCUCCCUCCUCCCUCCACCAAACAUUUCUAUCCCCAAAACACCCUCGCCUCCACCACAAUUCCCAUCUCUCUCCUCCUCGUCUCCGCUUCCACUCUCUCCCCAUUCGCGCCACUACAAUCACUCUACAACAGGUAAUACCUUUUCUCUACUCUAAGCUCAACUUUGGUUCAUAAAGUUUGAAUCUUUAGGAACCCAUCUGGUCAAAUUUCAAUUUUGCUUCAUAAAGUUUUGACCUUUAGGAGCAGAGCUCAAGCACCCAGAAAAGUCAAAGCUCAGGCAUUGAGUUUCUGUCAUGCCCAGUUUGCUAUGAACCCCUCAUACGCAAAGGCCCAACUGGUUUGAACUUGUGAGUACUAUGCUUGCUACCCAGUUUCUGAUUAGUUGAGAUGAAAAAGGCUGAGGCUUUUUGUGUGAUGUUUAUUAGUGUUUUGGUUUUUGUGGGUUUUUGGUAGGGAAGCAAUAUACAGGUCAGGUUUCAAGUGCAGGAAAUGCGACAAGUCGUAUUCCAGCAAGGACAUUUACUUGGACCUUACUGUUACUGCUGGGUUGAAGCAGUAUGUUGAGGUCAACCCUGCUAGGACUGAGUUGUUUAGGAGCCCUCUUGUGUCGUUUUUGUAUGAGAGAGGUUGGCGCCAGAAUUUUAGUAGUAGUGGAUUUCCAGGUCCUGAUGAAGAGGUAUGUGUCAUUUGGUUACUGUGUACUAAAUGCAUAUAGUGUCUGUUAUCUAAGUUCUGUUUGUGUACACUUUACGAGUUACAUGAUGUUUUUAUGUGCUAUGCAGUUUAAAAUGGCUCAGGACUACUUUAAACCCGCGGAAGGCGGUCUUCUGGUGGAUGUGAGCUGUGGGAGUGGUUUGUUUUCAAGGAAAUUUGCAAAAUCGGGGUCUUAUUCUGGAGUUGUGGCCCUUGAUUUUUCAGAAAAUAUGCUUAGACAGUGCUAUGAUUUCCUCAAAAGAGAUGCUACUCUUUUGGCUACGUGAGUUUUGUCUGCCUUUUUUCUUCUUUACUCAUUAGUUUCUCAAUGCUAUACUGGUAUAAGAAAAGAGAGAACUGUAUUGGUCUAUUCUAACUUAGCUUGUUAUAAAUUGUUGGAAUAAGUGCAGGAAUCUUGCUCUUGUAAGGGCAGAUGUUUCGAGGCUCCCAUUUGCAUCAGGUUCAGUCGAUGCUGUCCAUGCCGGUGCAGCACUGCAUUGCUGGCCCUCUCCUUCAAAUGCUGUAAGUGUAGUUUGACUUGUUUCCUUCUAUUUUUCCUUUAAAUUACUUCCUCUUUAGGAUUUUAUGUUUACUCAGUAGGAUGAAAGAAAGUUAUGCAAUCCUCUAUUUACUUGAAAGCAAUAUGAGAUGUGAUAUGUGGAACUUUGAGAAAAACUUGGAGCCUUUUACCCUUGUUCCUCACAACAGGCUAUAGUGCACUAGGCCUCUAUCCAUGCAUAUGGUAACAUGAACUCUCAUGGAUAGUCCAUGGUCUAGGGGCCUAGUUGGUUCCUGCAGAACAUAGUGCAAUUAUAAUAGUAUAAAGUACUAUGUACAUCACAGAUAUUGGUAUAUCUUCUGGUGAAAAUAUUUGGAAUCAGUUAUCUUACGGUUUGGUGUUAGCAAGUGGGUGCAUAUAUAUCCCAUGUUUUCUGGCAGAGCUUUCUUUUGCAUCUGAACUUUAUGAUCUCUCAAAUCUCUUUAAGUUCUCAAUUUCUCUCAACUAAUCCAUUUACCGUCUUAUUUCACAUAUAUUUCCAGGUUGCUGAAAUUACUCGUGUACUACGAAGUGGCGGUGUCUUUGUUGGAACCACUUUUCUGCGGUAUACUCCAACCACUCCCUGGUAUAUCAGGCCUUUCAGAGAGGUAAUAGUUAUACAAUGAUUACCAAAUGUGGUCAGUCAUACUUGGGAGAGUCUUUGGGUGGGUUUAACAUUACAAUCAUAGACUUUUCUCAAGUUGGUUUUUAUUAAUCUUCAUGUUGGGACUUUUGCAAAUGUUCAUCUACUCUGGUUUGGUCUCAAUGUAAAACCUGGCUAUGUUGAUCUUCAAUAGGGAGUUUUCAUGGGAAGAUAUAUAUCCAACUAGGAGUUGGUUUGUCUGAGGAGUUCUUAUUUCAUGUUGGAGAUUUCACAUUUAGUAAAUAAGUAAAUAGCAGUUAUAAUUGUUGAUUGUUAUUAUAUGGUUCAGGCAUAUUAACUGUCUUCCUGACUGAAUGUUACUCACAUGCCUCUGUAUCUAUUACGAACAAUUGUGCAUAGUACUCCACAUUCAUUUCCUUAUUCUGUAUAAACUUCUCAAGAGUACAAUAAAAACUAAUCCUGGUUUUGAUAUAGCAUUGUAUGGUCACUUAAGUGUUUGCAGACUUUGGAGCAUGGGUUUUAUUAAAAAUAUGUGAAUGGCUUGGUUAUAGACCAUAAAUAUUGAUCUUAAGGUGUUAUUUUUGUAGCAGAGGAUUGCUCAGGGCUACAGCUACUUAACGGAGGAAGAGAUACAGGACUUGUGUACAUCAUGUGGCCUCACGAACUACUCGAGCAAAGUUCAGCAAUCCUUCAUCAUGUUUUCAGCUCAGAAACCUUGAUACUAGGUUUGAGCCAUUUGAAUAUCAUGUCUCCAUUACAUGCAUUUAUCAUAUUUCUUGUUAAUUUGUUGUAUACGAUGUAAUAUAAUUGUAUACACAUCUGAAAAGAAGAAAACAAAACCUGAAAAGGUGGAAAAUCUGGGUAGAUGUAAAGUAUUAUUAUGAAACAUGAAUAAGAAGCACUUCGUUAAUGAUAGUACCCCAGUGCUUAACAUUAUCAUGAAUUCUGUUAGUGGUUACUGGUUAGUGAUGACAGAUGAAUGGGUGAUUUUAAUCUGAAUUAAGCUGAGUUGAUUAUGGCAUAAAGACAGAUGCUCAGAGUCGAUAAACAACUAAAUUCAUAAACCUGUACUCUACCAGUUGGCGACUGAAAAUCUUGGAGUGUAAUGUAUUGAUAAAAGGGACUCAUACACAUAGUUUAACCAUAGCUGCAAUUACCCAGGCUACCAAACAAGAACAAUAAAAAAUGCAUGAAUAAGAAGAGGAAGAAAAGGACCAGUUCAAGCCACAUUUCCUUGAGCCUUUGUUUAAACUUUAUAGUCCAUAUUUUAGGACAAGAUUUCAGCUAAAAGUUUAAAUUUUUCUAAGCACGGUGAGAAGAAUUCUUUUUUACUUGUGUGGAACUAGAUUACUAGAACUAGUGUACACAUAUCAUGAUGCAGGUGUAGCCUUGUCCAGUCUUUAAUCUUUGGAAAAAGGCUCUGCAUGUGGCUUAACCCUUAAAACUAAGGGUUUGCAUAUAUAAUAGGCAUUAAAGAAACCCUUUUUGAUAUAGCAGAAUGGAGUGAGCCUCAGACUACACAGAGGCCUUAGCAGAGGGGCAGGGAGAUCCCCUCGUGCGGCUCAUCCGCUGACUCUGCAAACCCUAUUUGUUCUUCUAACCAUAUUCACAUCCACAUCACCUCUUUCUCUCUGGAUCUUUGACCAUUGACCACCACCUACAACUUUGAAGUGUUUGUAUGAGUAAAGAAGAAUAAUUUGGGUCAGUUCCAACACGCUUGAGCUUUUGAACACUGCAAGUUUGCUUGGGUUUCUAUUUGAAACCCAGUCUUUGGAUCCCUUGCACGUGAGCUUCUUGCUUACUAUAAUACCAUUCUGCUUUUCAUGGCACGUGAGGGUUGCCCAUCCUCCUCUUCUUUGAUUCUGUUUUUCUUUCCUCUCUUCAAUUUGGUUAUAGCUAAAGAUAGAUAUUUGUUAGUGUGUUUUAUUUAGUGUACCCAUGUUAUAUGAAUUUCAUUGGUCAUAUUGGUGCUGAAGAUCAUAACCUGUUCUUUGCAGCACUGUGAUCAAAGAGUUGUCUUUUUUCUUUUUUCUGUAUUACUGAUAAAUAUAAAAGUUCUGAUCUCGUUUCAAAUAAAUAGAGUUUAUGUACUGUAGGAUCUGUGGUAGCUUUGUGUUUUUGUUUGUCUUUCUCAUUCUAUGGAAAAAAUAGAUUGUCCAAUUGUAAUGAACAUUAUUCUAUGAGACUAGUCUCCGGGUUUUCUCAUGACAGUAGAAUUCAGAAGAGAGAAACAAAGAAACCAGCAAGGGAAAAAACAAACCUCCUCAAAAGAAUUUUAAGAAGGGUCAAAAAUUACAUGCUUCAGUUUGACUCGAGGUGAAAAUAGGUAAUAGCUUAUGCACUUGGCUGCCUAGAGUCUGUAAUAUAAGUUAAUGUCUGAACAAAGUUGUUUAGAGCUUGUCUUACGCUAAAUCCUCUUAUGCUUCAUAGCUCGACAUGUAGGGGUUGAACUUUACAGAGAAGAUGAACUACUUAGAAGUGCUUUGCAGCAUCAAUUGAUGAUUGACAACUGUUGACUAAUAUGGUAAAAAAAGAUUGUCAGCUUGUAAAAACUCGAAAUUGAAUGGUAGAGCUGAAGGGUAUAAAAGGGAAAAUACAAGAUUAAAAAUACUGUUAGCAUUGUAAACCCCAAGAUAACUCUUGGAUGAAGCUCAGAGGCGCAUUAAGCAUGGUCUUCCUCAAAAUUAGCAAUGGAGCCUCUGAUUAAUUAGGUCAUUAGUAUGGGAAACUAGUGCUCAAUGAGUUGUGCUUGUCUGUGAAAUGUUUGUUACAAAACCACAUUAUUAUUAAAGCAGAGAGGACUUGAGAUUAGUGGAGUUGUUGAUUGAUUAAUGUUGACAUGUUUCAUUCCCUAAAAACCGGGUUUUUUCUCGUACAUGUCUUGUUUUGGCUCUAUCAGAUAUGACACUAAAGACAGUGUUCUUACCCAACACUAUAGUUCCCUCACUUGCUUUUGUCUGUUGAAGUCAUAAGAGUUACAGUAGUAAUAUUCCUAAGCACAAUGUUCUUCAACCUUCUUACCACCUGAGUCGCAAGCCUCACAGUUCAGGUAUCAAACAAAACCAAUGAGUGGUGACAGCUGCAUAAUUUUUUGACAUACUGAUAUUCUCUAAAACCGAAAUUUUGAUCCUUCAAUCAUGAAUACGGUAAAACCAUACAUGUUGUUAGGUGUACUUUUUGCCUUUUACCUUGUGUGUAACACUGCAGCUCUGUACCCUUUUGUUCUCUAUCAAGCUUUACUUUGCUGUAGGCUCUGAUUGCUUAGGUUUGAAGUCAUGAAAGCUACAUAGAUGACAUCAAAAGCAGCAGGCAAGAAUAAGGGAUGCACAUAAAUACACCAACACAGUAUAGUAGGUUUUUUAACUAACCUGGCCGACUUAUUGGGAUGAGAAACUCAAGCUUUUUGGAUCACACUCAAGGUUUUGGAAUUGCCAGAAGUCUAGUGUUAAAGUUCACUUUCAGUGACUACUGGGUGGAAUGCAAAAUUUUCAGCUAUCAAGAUGGUAACACAGAAAUAUCAAGCCGAUCAUCUAUUUCAAUUUCUUUUUCUUUUUCGGUUUCCCAUUUCAAAGUGAUCUGUAACAAGUGGCUAGUUCCAACUGAUUUCACCAAUUCUAAGAGAUGAGAAUCAAUGAAAGAAAAGGUGAAAAAUAAAAAUGGUGAGUCACAGAGGCACCUCCUUCAAGAAGAACUUGGUUAGUUUAGCAUUAGAGCUCUACAGCCAAGGAGAUGAGCAGCAUUAGUUUAUACAGGUUUUAGAGAAAUGGGAGACACGGAAACAGCGCCCACGUUCCCCUCAUAUCUUACUUCCUUUUCUUUUAUAUAUAUACAUAUACAUAUAUAUAUAUAUAUGUAUGUAUCUCUAUCUCUCUCUCUCUCAUGUUACAAGCCCCCCUAUUGACAAAAUGAGUGUACCUCUCCCAAGGAAUAAAUAUAUAAACCCUUCCUCUGUUGUGAAGCUCCAUAAAUACUCUUAUCACCAUAUCCCUCAGUCCCUCUCUUUCUCUUUUCCCUUCUCACACCAUUGUCUUGAUAACAGCUCAAGCAGGGCACUUGCUUUGAAGUGUUUAUGUGAUCAUGGUUUGUCUCUGUCCCUCUCGGUCUUCUCUAUUCCAUAAUUCUCAUUGUCUUUGUGGAUCAUAUAUAUAAUUGUUUGGUAAUUCUGGUUCUGAUUGAAUUGGUGCAUGUAAUUCAGGGAAUUCAGAAGCCUGCAUGGUUGGAAGCCCUCUACACUCAGAAGUUCUUUGCAGCUUGCUCCUUUCAUGAAACUGCAAAGAAGAACGAAAAGAACGUUUACUGUUUGGAUUGCUGCACCAGUAUAUGCCCCCAUUGUCUACCUUCACACCGUUGCCAUAGGCUUCUUCAAAUUCGUCGCUAUGUUUACCACGAUGUUGUAAGAUUGGAAGACCUUCAAAAGCUCGUCGACUGCAAUAAUGUUCAGGUUUGUUACAUGACUGUUGCUAUUCAAAUUCCAAUUCCAAUUCAGUAUAGUUAAGUGGCAAUUCAGUUAGCUGAUGUAGUGUCUCUUUGUUUUUCAGUCAUAUACCAUAAAUAAUGCCAAAGUUGUGUUCAUCAAGAAGAGACCUCAGAAUAGGCAAUUCAAGGGUUCCGGAAACUAUUGUACUUCUUGUGACAGAAGUCUUCAAGAACCUUAUAUCCAUUGCUCACUUGGGUGCAAGGUAAACAUCUAGACAUGCAUGCGUAAAACACUUGAAUUUUGCCAUAUGUACAACUAUGAAAAAGACUUUAAUUGUGAUUGAAUUUGACUUAUUAUAAAUAAUUUCAGGUGGAUUAUGUGGUUACACUGAAGAGGGGGCUCUCUCCGUACCUGAAGAAAUGUGAAACACUCCAACUGAGUCCAGACUUCUUAGUUCCACUCCAGUCCGAGUCUGAUGAUCAGGACAUGACCAGUGAUCAAACUCUCCAUUCGACAAUUGUGGACUGCGACGAUCCAAUGAGCUAUUCGUCAUCAUCAGGCUCCGAAAACAUGAGCAUGAGCAUGAGCAUGGCAUACACAAAUCGUGAUCAGAUUGUCCGAAAGAAGAGAAGCGGGCUCAAUUACAGUUACGUGUACUGCUCAAGAUCAGCUCACAAAGUUUCAGAUGAUGAUCAAGACAUGUCCUCUAACAUGAUCAGUAGAAGAAAAAGCAUUCCUCAUAGAUCUCCUCUGUGUUAGAGGCUAGCUGUUAGCAUAAACAACAGAUUACUCAAACUUGGUAUUCAAUUUGCCACUACAAUUCUCUCCCAUUUCAUUUUAACUGAAAUUCAAAUGCUUUACUUAAAUUAAUUGAUUAUUCAUCUCGAAAACGAAGUUUAAUUUAGUUGAUUAAUCACUUGGUCGGGGUGUUUUGUCUUAAUGCGUUCACGUGGUUCCCAGUUCCAAGUUAUUGUUCUUGUACAAUUUUAUAACUCGUUUGAUUCGUACUGUAUCUGAGAUUUUAAAUCACCGUGAUCAUGAAUUUGAUGAGGCUCUUCUUGUGAUCAUAUGCUCUACACUCUUACCUACACUACUCGUUGGUUUGCUCUACACUCUUAACUUCUGCACUAUUAUAUGCAUUUCAACAAUGUUAUACAAUUGAAUGUGGUACAAUCUGUUCCUGAAUCACUGUAGAUUAUCAUUUUGAAAUGUAUGCAAGACUAGGGAACCCUAAUGACCAAUGGAACUUGCUGGACUUUGACUGCAAUUAUAGUUAAAACAAUCUGUGAAAAGGGAGUUUGAUUCAUUUGGACCAGUCAAACACUAGGCACCAGGAUUGUUAACUCAGUUCAACUCUCCUGUACAUUAAAAAACCCAGUUCAAGUUUAUUGUUGUUUGGUUUUGUGAAGAUCGACUUCCUUCCACCAUCCACAAGCUUUACACGACUAUUAACCUCUGGGAAAAGUUCGAAUAAAAGUAGUCUCGACAUAUGUUAUUGAAAAUGUAAUUUUGAUCGAAAACCACGAAUUUGGACAAUUUUUUCAUUUUGGGAAAAAACCUUCUGGAUUUGUUUCUCACGUAGUUAGAAAAGGAUGCAUGUACAUCUUGGAGGCACCAUUCGCUUGCAUAGGUUUGGUCAUUCCCACCAUUUAGCCUCACUUGUCAUGUCGAGGCUAGUCUUGCUUGAAUCAGCUUAGCGUGUACAACAUAACCUCGAUCACUCCAUAAAGAGACAUGACCAUGAGAAUUGCUAACCUCUCUUCCAUAAGCAAUUAAGCAUAGCCAUGGGAAUCAGAUUCUUAUCGCAAGCAAGCAUUCACACUUGCAAGCAACCAACAUAUAGAACCCGAUAGUGCCAAUCAAUUUGGUUGGCAUGCCAUAAUUCGAUAUCAAACUUUUUCUAUAUUUUAGCCAACAACAUAUCCAUACGAAAUCACACUCAGAUUUUUCUUUAAAUAUUGUCCUUAAUCGCCUUUUAAAUUAAACGAUUCAUUCCCUACAUAUAUAUAAACGUUAUGAAUCAGAUUAUUAUUUCCAAAAUCAAGAAAUGAGAUCUAGCUUGAAAGUGAUUGACAAAAAUAGACGCGCGGACAGCUAGAACAUAUGUAAUGAGAUUCAUACAUUAUGAAAACCAAGUCAUUCUCCUCUGUGAUUCCUUAAAUAUCGAACCCGAUAGUAUCUUAGGGCUUUUAUAGCAAACUAUCUGUUUCUCCGCAACUUUGUAUGCGUUAGUUGAAAAUCUGUGUUAUAAAUAACAUCUUGUCUCGCACCAUGGUUUUGGGUCCUUGUGUCUCCACCAAAGUUCUCCCGUCAAAAAGCCAGAAGAACUACAAGGACGAGUAUAGGGGAAGCCCAGAAAUCCAAAACCCACCAUGAUGUUCUUCGGCAUUAGAUCAAUAAUGCCGUCGAAACAUUUGGUCUUUUUUGUGAUCCUAGCCAUCUCCUCCUUCGUCUUUGUUGUUUCAGCUUCUGCAGACGAAACCGGCCAUCAACUUUCUCACACAGGUAAAAUGGGCUAGGGUUUCGUUUUGUUUUUGCAUGCAUGUCAUCAUCACUUGUUGUGUUAGACAUGAUUUGUCCUUUUUUACAACAUGAAAUGUUAAUUUGAUACGAAUUUUUGCAUUGCUAGCUCUUGUAAAGUUUGAAUCAUUUUUUUUUUGUUAAUGGUGAAGAGGGAGAAGAAUUAAACGAUGGUGGGAUAAUCACAUGGGGAAGGAGGAGGUCUCUUGAAGAAGGAGACGGAGAUGGCGGCGACGACGGAGAUCAAGGAGAUGAAGAAGUUUUAUUGUUGGCUAAGAAAAGGACACAGAGAAGAGACCCUCUAGAUCACUGGAAGAAGUACAAUGGGGGAUGGAAUAUAACCAACGAGCAUUAUUUGACUGUGAGUUCUGUAUUCUCUUAAUUAUUUUGAUUCAUUUUCUUGUUUUGUCUUUGUUAUUUUGGUUUCUGUUGUUCUGAUUCUGUGUAUAUAUUCUGUUGUUUUAAGAACCACCAAUGUAGGUUUAUGUGAAUGUUCCCAAUUGUUCUUCUGGUCCUUUCCUCAAAAUGUAGGUUUAUGUGAAAGCUUUAUUUAUUUUUUGUCUCUCUAUAUACAUGUAGGUUAUGUGUGUGCUGAUGAUAUAUAUACUUGUUGAACAUCUAUACAUAUAUAGUGCUAAGCCAAAUAUAUAUUAACUUCUGUUGUUGGGUUUAGCUGAAUAUAUAUGGUUGAAUAUGUUUCUCAUGAAAUUGAUAUAUUUUUCAUACACUAGCUAAUUGGUUAUUGAUCGAACUUUGCUGUAGUCAGUUGCUUUUACCGCGGUUCCUUUCUUCAUUUUUGCUCUUGUGUGGUUCGUGAUCUUCGGGAUAGCUUUGUGCGUCAUCUGUAUCUGUUACUGCUGUCGUAAAAAACCGCCUUAUGGCUAUUCUAGAAUAGCCUACUGCGUCUCUCUUGUCACCCUCAUUGUCUUCACCCUCAUGGCAAUGUAACUCUCUAACUCUCUUUGUUUACACACACACACACACACACCUGAUUUUCAUGCCAAUUAGUAUUAGUACCGAAAUACCGAUCGGUUUGAUGUUGGCUUGGAUUUAAUGUUCAUAUGGUUAAUUUGUUGUAGUGCUGGAUGCAUUGUGCUGUACACGGGUCAGGGAAAGUUCUACAACAGUACAAGAAAGACAUUGGAUUACAUUGCGAAUGAGGCAGAUGUAACUGCCGAAAACCUCAGGAAUGUAUCAGAUUUUCUCGACUCAUCGAAGAAGAUUGGACUUGACGCCAUAGUUCUUCCGCAAGAUAUGCAGCGCAAAAUUGACGAGGGUACGGGGAAAGUAAAGAAAGUUGCCGAUGUUAUCUCUGAAAAAACUGAUUCGACUGCAAAGAAGUCAAGACAAGUCUUGCAUAACCUGUAACUACAUUCUCUUGAAACUAAUUCUGAACUUCCACUCGAUCACCUUGAUUAAUCUGUAUAACAUGUAUCUGUCACUAUCUUCUACAGGAAGUUGGCGCUCCUGAUUUUCGCUACUGUUAUGCUCCUUCUAGUCUUUAUUGGAUUUGGUAAGUCUGUUAUAUUCUUUUGAUUAGAUGCAAAAAGUUUUAAAGGUAUAAUUAGGCCUUAAUGAUUGCUUCUGUGUUUAUUUGGUUUACUUGUUGCAGUACUUUCCAUGUGCGGUAAGCGAUUUCUUGUAUACUGGUAAGUCAGAUACCUAUAAAACUGUUUGGCAAUCAUUUUUCCAAAGCAGAUCAAGUCAAUGAAGCAGUUAACUACUCUGAACAUCGUUUUAACAAGCAGUUUGCAAUUUGAUGCAGCUUGGUGAUUGUUGGGUGGAUUCUUGUUACUUGUACAUUCAUCUUGUGUGGUGCAUUUCUCCUCAUCCAUAAGUAUGUACCACUUAACUGGUCGACCUCUCUAUAUUAAUUUAAGUUUCACUUUAGCCUGCAGUGCAACAUAUAGAUGUUAAUUUCAGCUCCAUUCUAUCCUAAAUGUGUUUGGAUUUGAAUGCGGAUUCUAGCAAAUCUGUAAUAUUCCAGCUGAUACAUGAAAUUGAUUGAUAUCCUCGGAGUAAUGUAUUCUUGUAAGGAAGCUGUGUCCAUAUCAGAGACUGAUAUUUUUCUAUGUGCACAUAUGCAGUGUGUUUGCAGAUGCAUGUGUCUCCAUGGAUGAGUGGGUUCAAAAGAAACCAACUGCUUAUACUGCUUUGGAUGACUUCCUUCCAUGUGUGGAUCAAGAUGUAGUCCAAGGCAUGUUGAAUGACACAAAGAUGGCAAACUACGCUGCUAUUGGAGUGGUUAAUCAAAUCGUCGAUAUGGCAAAUAGUGAUCCUAAUUCUGGUGAUGGCGGUACUCCAUUGAGUUUCAAUCAAUCUGGUCCUUUAUUACCACCAGUCUGCAACCCCUACAACGAAGAUCAAUCUAAUCGGACUUGUGCUCCAGGGGAAGUGGAAAUGCAAAAAGUAACCGAGGUAAUAACUAACAAGUCCUCCUCGCUAGCGUUUAGGAUUUUAACAAUUUAUGAGUCUAUGCUGUGUUACACUCUAUGAAGUAGCAUUAUAAGAAAGCAAGUGAUAUAUGCAGGAAUGGGGGAAAUACGUGUGUCAGGUUGGUGAUUCUGGCCAGUGUGAAUCAACAGGACGGCUGACUCCUACUUAUUUCGACCAAGUGACAGCGUUUGUAAAUGUGAGCUACGGACUGUAUCGGUACGGUCCAUACUUUGCUGAUUUUGCAGACUGCACAAUUGUGAAGAAAACAUUCACGGACAUGUUUACAGACCAUUGUCCCGGUCUGGUACUACAUAGUAAAUGGAUCUACAUUGGCUUGUUGAUGGUGGCCUUAGCUAAAAUGUUGUCUAUGAUCUUCUGGGUGAUCUACUGCCGGGAGCGACGACAUCGCGUGUAUACUAAGACGGUAGACACUAUAAGCAAUCAAAGUGCAAACUUUGGAGGUUCAAAUCUUGACAGUGCAAAUCAGGGCAGUAAAAACUUAGCAGGUGGAAACCAUGGCAGUGCAAGUCAUGGAAGUUCACACUAUGGGAGUGCAUAUAAUGGAUAGGAAACAGAUGGAUUUUGCUCGUACUCCAUGAAAAUUCUGCUAGGAGAUUUGGAUACACAAUAGAGUCAUACUGGCAUAAACCAUUUUUUGGCUCUUCAUUGGCAUGCCGAGUUUGUAACCCUAAGUAGGAAAGUUGUAAUGCUUGUCUAGAUAUACAGAAGAAAAAGAAAACCCCCAAAAUCCCCAAGUGAUCUCAAGCCAGCGGCGCGCAGAAGAAUCAUUCUCAUUUCCAUAACUGUAUUUCUCGCAGCAGAUUGAGGUCAGAGGUAUUGUUUCUACGCUUAUUAACUUCAAAUGCAAAGAAGACGAGGAAUGUAUAGAUAGACAUUGGCGGAAGACACCCUGUGAAAUAUAGUUUUUUUGCUAACUAUAGCUUCAUACAUAUGGCAUAUCUUGUUUUUUUUCCCCCAAAGAUCAAUACAAUUACUGUAUGUUGUGUAAUCUCAGCAAAGGAAAAGAAAAAUGUUGCCUACAACAAUCAAACAAAGCAAACUUACAUGUCUUAGAAUCCAAGUGAAUUAUUUUCAUUGUCCAAGUGUACUAUCUGUUGCCCCAAAUAUCACCUUCUUUGCUUGAAUCAAAUAUCAACAGGUGCAAAAUCCAAGCAAUGUUCAAUGUUCUAGCAUUCUGCAUUCAUGGUGACUGUCUUGCUUAUAGCAUUCGAGGAGAAGAAUAAUGGAUUCAGGAGGCUAAAAUAGGAGAUCUUUCAAGAAAAAGUGCAAGUUUACAAUAACCGACCUUAGCUCAGUUGGUAGAGCGGAGGACUGUAGUUGGAACAACCAUCAGAUAUCCUUAGGUCACUGGUUCGAAUCCGGUAGGUCGGAUUUUUUAUUUCCCAUUUUUUUCCUACUAAAGCCCAAAAGGAGAGAGUUCUUCAUGAACUGCCAUUUCUUUGUGCACUAAACUGAAACUUGUUCUGUAAAAACUCAAAAUGUAUAGCUAGAGUUAGCUUGCCAGCUGAAAUGGUAGAUGAAACGACAUACUGUUUAUUUGGAAAGCUUGCUGACUUCAAAAUCAAACCAAUCUUAGCCACCUGGUACAUCAAUCGAACAUGACAACUACACGUACAAGAGGCAAAAAAAAUCAUACAACCAUUGACCUAUGAUCUGUAUCAGAUUCUUAGCCUUCAAAUCCAGAUAAUAUAAAUUAUGAUCUUACGUGCUCCAAAUGUGGAAGACUUCUAGUCCAAAAGAUGAGGAGAGAAAACAAAAACUGCAGAUAAUGUUGUUUUUAGUGUCAAUCAACAUCAUAUGUGUGAAUUGAAGUUCUUCGAUCGAGUGAAUGACGAGUACUCCAUACAGUAAAUACUAAAUUUGCAGUCUCAUGUUCAUCUUAUCUGCUUACUGUGCAGCUAGCUUGGACAAUUACAGAUACUUAAGUUUAAGAAUCAAGGUAUUGAAUCAACUGUGCAAGAUAGAUACCAAAACAAUAACCUCUUCUGCUUAAACCAAUCCAAAGAGCACAUCUCAUCUUUUCCAAAUUAAGUUUUGUUUGCCUAUAAUAGGACAAUAAGAUUGAAGUUACUUACAAGUAACUUCAAUCAAUCGAUUGAAUGGUAAAUCUGAUUUUGACAUUUGAUGAGAGAAACUAUGGUCUGUUAAGCUAUUGAGGUAAUCAAUACAAAUACUAUAAAACAAUCCAGAUCAAGGCUUAUAUAAAUCACAGCUCCUAUGAGUUUGAUAUAGAAAUCAGAGAAACAAAAUCACACUCCAACAGAUAUUAUAGUUGAAACUUGAAUACCAAUACUCCAAUGGCCUCAAAAUCACAAAACACCUCCUUGAACCGUCGUACAUGUCUAUGUUCACCCUCAAAACAUCCAGGUUCUUUCAGGUGCAGUUUGCACAGAAGCAAUGUGAAUAAUAAGAGGGCUAUAGUUAGCAGUAGUAGAGCUGCAAAAGAUGUUGUAAAACCAAAUUCGAUCAAAGAAAUCCUUCUCCAAGCUAUCAGGCCGUCCUCGAGUCAGGAUCUUCAAAGAAGGAGAAAGUUCCAGCCAAAGGCUAGCAGGUUUUUCUUGAUGAGUAACAGCAGAAAUGGGAUUGCAGAUUCUCGAUCAGAAUAAUGGGAUUUCGAUAUUUAUUUAACUUUAUCAGUUUUCCUGGUUAUUAGAUCCAUAGUUUUCUGGUGUGUGCAUGUAAGAGAAGUACUGUGUAUAUAUGUAGUAUAAAGUGUACGAAAUUAGAGAUUAGUUAACUAUAUGUUAAUUUAGUCCUGUUCUUAUAUGAUCUUCAUUCUGUAUAUGCUAAUAUGGAUCAUAUUAAUGUAUUUGAGUUGCCAAAAAACAGAACUAUGGUAAGUUUUCUGGCUCAAACUUUGAGCAUAUUAUUAGUGGCUUGUUCAUCAUUAUGCCACAAAUAAUGUGUGAGACAAGCAACAAUGGAGACAAUGAAUGUGUAGAACAAGCAACAAUGGAGGCUGGAGUUGUUCUGCACCUGUCAUCAUCAUACCUUCAAAUGCCAUAUAAUCAUAAACAAUCAUGGCAAAUUUGAUCUAAUCCCAGCCUUGCACCCACAGAUAAUCAAAACAAUUAUACAAUGAUGCAUUUUAACAAUGAAACACUAUGACAUCAUUAUUUAGCAAAAGAUUUUGAAUGAUCAUGGAGACCCAGUCAGUACUAAGAUAUGAUUAAUUUAGUCUGGAAGCAAUUGUGAUGAUCAACUAGUUGUUCUGGUACACUAUCAACAACCAAUUGUUAAUAUACAGAAAAGUCCCCAAUAACAACAAACCGACCUUAGCUCAGUUGGUAGAGCGGAGGACUGUAGUUGGCACAACCAUCAGAUAUCCUUAGGUCACUGGUUCGAAUCCGGUAGGUCGGUAUUUUUAAAUUUUUUUUUUUUUCAGCUAUUUGAUUUGAUUGCUAUGUUAUUGAACCGAGAGAGCCUUUCUAACGAGGACUCUUAAGUUGAAAACUUUUCGGCUUAUCCCAUUUUUCGAUCUUAUAACUACAUUUUGACCGUUCAGUUUAUAGGUAUUUAUGAGUAGAUUAUUUCUACAAAUUUUCGGCCAUAUUGAAAAUCAAAUUAAACCCAAAUUAAAAUCAAUAAGACACACAUUGACACACACUUGGUUGGUUCGCGGUAGUUUUAGGGCAAAAGACCUAAAUUGAUAUGGGGAUCCCUUCAACAAAGGCACAAGAAUAGUAGCCAUGGACUUGGUGACUGGUCCUCUACUCAAAUGAAUUAACUAGAAGCAAAUCAGGUCAAAAUCAAACCAAUUAAGGAUUCAAACCCAAGUGCUUGUGCUUGGGAGUUUUGACCCUUGACCUGGGAAAGUUCAGAAGCAAGAACAAGAAGAAGAAGCAUCGUUUGCAGUAUUGGUUUGCAGCACACUUGACAUAAAUGUAAUGGACCAUUCAGGUCCAGCUAGCCGCGCGCUAUGUUUUGCAUGUGCGACCCCCCACCAUUUGGGAGCUAGGACUAUUUCCAUUUGUGAUCUCCAAUCAUGCAAUUCAUACUAGCUGGUUCAAACUUGGAAUAGACAGUAGCAAGGUGCAGGGAAACAUCGAUCUCUCUAUUUCGGAAUUGCUUUGCAGUGACUUCCACGAAAUCACUUAUUGACUGAUUACUAAUUAUCAUAAAUUUUUUAUAUUAAACUUGUAAUCGAGUGUGGACUAGAUCCAAUUCAACAUUAUCAAUAUUAGAUCGAUCAUCAUAUAUAUGAUGAGUAUGUUCAUACUUGACAUUCGAUGAAAUUACUUAUUAUUUCAGCUUUCUAGCUAGCAAGUUAAAUGAGAAUUGUUUUACAACACUGACUUAAAACUUCAUAAGAAAUCUUAAGUAACUGUUUGAAAAAUUCACAAGCGACCAUCUUCGAAACUCUGUCAAACGAAAGAGAUGCAUUGUUUGAUCAAUUGAUCGACAUAACUAAAUAUCUCAUGGGGUAUAAGUUAAGUUAAUGGCAAUGGUUAUCUAGUUAUCCAAGAACAAUGUUGUUAUAUGGAAUCAUAUCGUAACUUAGUUAUACGUACGCGUUUAGGAUGUCUUUGAUUUCUAGAGUGUACGUACUGCUUGGAUAUUAUAUGUAGAUGAUACUUGUCACACCAGUGACAUGAUUGACUUGGGAAGGAAGAAAAUUAUACGAUGGAAUUUUUGAAAUAAUUAAGGGUGAUGGAGAGAGACUUGGCUAGCUAAAGCUCGAAAUGGUUGACCCAGAUUAACAACUUGGCCGACUAUUCUUCUCAGUACUGGUCCUAUUUGUCAUAUAUUCCUAGUCUACUAAUUACGAGCUAAUUAAGUAUAUGUGCUUAAGAAGAAAUUAAUAAGAAGAUUCACGUCAUAUAUGGGAUCUAUUGCGGCCAAGCUUGAUGGCUAUGUUCGAUAUAUGGGAUACUUCUUGGAACCCCCCAAACUUGACAAGAGUGACCUAAGAUUGGAACCUGCGAGCUACCAGAAAUCUCUUUAGGGUUUCGGGCAGAACCGCAAGAUUGUGGAAAAGCGGGUAGAUUAGUUUGCAAGCAAAUUAAGCAACUGCUAUAUUAGGUUUAGAAUUCGAGCUUCAAUAAUAUGAUACUGAUGUAACCCUAGAUAUCAAUAAUUAUACGUAUUACAGCAUACAGAGAACCUAAACCAAUUAACCUCUAACAAGUAGUAACAUGCAAUGUUGCAAAAGCUUAAUUAGACGCAUGAAAUGUCUCUUUCUUGAUAAUUCUAGUUGAUCGUCCAUGCCACCAACAUGACUUCAUCUUUAAACGACAAAGAAACCGCUGCUACUGCUGCUGCUACUGUAAUUGUACAAUGAGAUUUCUUUUCUUUCCCGGCCUGAAAGAGAGGAGUUUGAUGAGCUGCCUACCCAACUAAUCAAGAUAUAUACUGCUAUAUAUAUUUGCUUGUUGAUUAAGUUGUUGAAGCUACAAGACGUGGAAAUUAAGUUUCUAAUUAAGCAAACCAAAACUCAAAUAAUCAAAUUAAGUUAAGCAAGUAAUUUGUCAAAGUGUUAUAUAUAACGGGUUCAGCUGUUAUACACAUUUGUAUGACAUACAUUAAGCUGUAAGCCGUCCGAUCGUUUAACAAUUCAAAAUUCAAGACAAUCGGACGGCUCAUAGCUUGAUGUAUGUUAUACACAUAUAAUAGAAAAGUCCUUAUAUAACUGGGUUGCGCAAGUGACGAUCGAAAUGAUCUCAUUCUAUCUAAUCACUGUGAGAGAGCAACACCAUCAAUAAUGUAAGAGGUGGAUCGAACCAAAUAAUUGGAAUGAGUAGUAAAUUAAGCUUGGAUCGAAGCUACCACACCACCUUUGAUAUUUCUUGUCUUAAUUUGUAUACCAAUAUUAUUCAUAAGAGAUAUGAUCGACGUAAAGAUAUAUACGUGCAACAACUUCAACUACCCCAUUUGAGAAUCCAAACAUCGACUGGGGUCUGGGGCUUUCAAUUUAAUGUACUAUAUUAUUUGCCCUACUGUCAUCGUUUUGUUUCUAUCUUUGCAUACACUAUAUCAUGGACUCCCACAUCACACAUUAUCCAAAUCAAACUUAUAUGAGUAUGUUUGUGCUUUGAUUAUAGUCAUGCAUGGUAGGUUGUGUGGGGUUGUGACAAAAGCUACUUAAUCAUGAAAAUGCAUGAUUAUUUAGUAACAUAACGAGCGAGAUUAGUAAUUGAUUGCUUGGGUAUCUUAUUCAACUUCAGCCUAAGUGCCAAGGAUAAUGCAGAGGUUCGUGAAGAAAUUAAUCAGAUUGGAAUAUACGUAUACAAUAGUGUUCACCGGGUCAAUUACUGACAAAAAGACAAAAAGAAUCAUGAUUAAUCAUCGUUAGAUUUAUAUAUAAAGACUGAAAACAAAACAACUCAACUUCAAAACAAUUCUCUUCAUAUUGGAUUUACAUCCAAAAGUAACUCUCCUGGUCAAUUACUAACCAGGUGAUCAUAUCAGGACUGUGUAAAUAUAUAUGUUCUUUGAUUAUAAAUGUGUUAGAAAAGUGACCUAAUUAAAUUAAUCGUGAAACUAUUUGAUUAUUAGGCGCAUAAAUUGUGUCGAUCAUGGUAUUUGCAUUGGGGUCUUGUUUAGCUGCAGGCCAAUGUUUCGAUCAAGAAUAAUGUACGAGUCACAGGAUUAUAUAUACUUUAAGAUAUGUGAAUAAUAUCAGCUGGAUCCUAUAUAUAUUUUCACAACCUUUCUCUGUCUUUAGUGCCAAGGAAGCUAUAUAGGAUGAUCAUCUUUUACCUCUCUUCCAUACUCAUGGGUUUAGUAUUACAAUAAGUGAAGAUAUUAGUAACAAAUUAAGACUGUCGAAGAAAGGCAAAAAGGUAAAGCAUGGAAUGAAAUGUUUCAUGUUUGGUGCUCCUAUCACCUUUGCGACCAAGAAAGCCAAUUAUUUAUGUGGUUUGGAUAAAAAGAAAAAGCUUCAUGCACCUAAAGGAAAAAGCCUACAAAAAUAGCACAGAUAUGAUGUUUCUAUAUUUGAAUGAAAGUAAAGGAAGAAGUGAUGAUAAAUAUAACAUAAAGUCAUAAACACACAUAUGCGAUUACAAGGAAAAACAAACUAUGACGAUUGAGAUGAUUAGAAGUAAGGAUGUAUGAGUUUCUUGUAUCAUUAUUAUCAGCGAUCAUUUAAAUUUUAUAAAAAAAAAUUUCCGUUCAUCUUAAAAAAGACAAUUUAUCGAACACAUUACUCUUAAUCGCCGGUUCGUAGCAAGAGACACUAACUACGUUAGGUAGUCACUACAUCCAUCACACAAUGGAAAAAGAAAUAUAAACAUAAUAGUUGGAAAAUGGCUGCGUGGAGUGUGUAAGGUUCCAGAAGUCCUAAAGCGUGCCAAAACCGUCUUUGGUAUUCUUUGUCCCCACUCCCUCCCGCCCUUUGAUUUCAAUUUUGGUGCCAAAUGCUUCCGUUUGUUGACCUCUACUGCCUCCCACCAGGACUUCGUCAAGCAUCCCCUUCUGGAUUGGGCUCUCUCUCUGGCCCACAGCCCACCUUGCUACCAAAUGACCUAGCUACGUGUCCACCGGUGUCGCGGUUUCUUAAUCCGAUUGGAUUAAUUAAGUAAAUCAGAGAUUAUUAAAGCUAAAACCAGGCUAAUGGUUUAGGUCCAAAGCUACCCGUUCUGGCCGAUCUGGUGGACGACACGUAAUUUGGAAUGCAGAAUCACACACUGCUUGUGAAGCACCACGUGUCCCCCACCUCAAUGGAAGCGCGCCACAUCCACAAAUUCCGAAUGGGUCCCCCCAGAUUGAUUCCCGGUCCUCGGAAAAUACCAAAAGCCAAUCACAUGAUCUUGGGGAUUCUCGGCAGUCGGCACCCUAGAUCUGUAACUCACAAAUUAAUAUAAUUUUUAUGUUAUUGGCUCGAGAAAAAACAUAUUUUUUGUAGAAUAAUAAUAAUCAUUUUUCUUAGUAACUGAGAAAGAGAAUUGAUUCUUUUAGGUGUUAAAUUACUAGUAAUAAUGGGGUUUUCGGUUUCAGUUUUGGAAUAAUGCGGAUGCUUAAUUACAUUAUAACUAGGACGGGUUUAGAUGUAUUAUUUGUGUGCAUGUCGGUAUUUUGGACAAUUGCAUUUGUGAUUGUGAUCCAACAAUAUAUGUGUUGGCCUAAGUUCAACUUUUUUCAAUUGGAGUUUGAAUCAUGUCAAUUGGUUUGGUCGUCCAUUCAUAAUUUAUGUGAAACUAAUGACUUAUCUCAUUCGAUAUAUGUUUUAAAUUAGUCUUAUUUUAUAAUUUUUUGUUACAUAAUUAAGAUGACAUAUAUUUAAUUUAUGUAUAAACUUAAAUAUUUCGAGUCCUCACAUACAAAGAGCACAUUAUUCUUUCUAAAGUUAAAAUCGAAGCCACAUUGCAUAGCACAUUUUCGAUGUCUUCAUCAUUGAGCUCAUAUAUAGACAAACCAAUAACUGUUUUUCGAGAAUCCAAAAACAAACAAAAAAUUACACAUAACAGCUCAUCAAAGAGUAAAUUUGGAAUUGACAAGGGCUCAAAGAAAAUAAAAAACCGGGGGCUGAAAAGUAUAUGGGCGCAGUGAAUAGAGUGUGAUACGUGGAGGUUAAGCGUGUAUAAGCAGCGUUAACGGAAAGUAUGUGCACAACGGAGACAAAAAGCCUUGACCACUCUGUCAGCCUCUCUCCCACACUAUUCUCCACCUAUUUUUUUCUGCGUGCCCUGCCCAUAGCUUCCGUUUAAAAACCGUUGGAACUCUCCGCAGUCCUCCCCUAGUUUCACCUUAACCAACCCUCUAACCGUUUGCUCUUCUUCACGGUUCAGUCCCUAUACUAUUCCAUAUUUGCAAUCGAGGACUUGUCUUAUAAAUAAAUACUAGUAGCUAAAUACUUAAAUGGUUAGUGUGUGUAUUAGGAAGAGAAGAGGUCUCUAAUUAGGCAGGUGCUUUGAAUUUGAUUUAGAGGGUUUUCUAAGGGAAGAAAAUCAUCCCCUUUAUAAUAUUCUGAUUAAUUGAAUCUAAAUUGGUGGUUCCACAAUACAACAAUCACAUGCUAUCAUAGACAUUCUUUUAAUUUUUGUUUUGCUUGUAACUACCAUAUAUGCUACCAAAUUCAAUUUAUUUUAAGAUUUAAGCAUCCCAAACAUGUUACAUAUGAUUCUAUUACCAUAUAAAUCUUCUAAUAUUGAUAUUCAAAAACGAUUACGCACAUAAUUUGUCAAUGAUUACAUUUAUGUAACAUUUUCAGAUAUGUAAACGGGUCAUUGAAUCAUAAUUAAGAUGUCGAGAAAUUUGAUUCGACAAACAAUGGGUAAAAAAAUAUAUUAAUGAAAUGAAGGUAAAAAUAUACUAAUUACAAUUUACAGCUAUAUUAAUUGAUUAAUACAAGGAAAUAGGACCACUAGAAAAUUCGAAAUCAAAUAAGGAAAUGAGGGAGGGCAGGAAUGCAAUCCAACUAAGCAAAUACUGUAACCGUCUGAAUAAUUCUCGCGAUAUUUUCGCCAAGUUCUCGUCCCCCCUUCACUAUAAAUACAUAGCUCGAGUGAAGCUAGGUUUGCCAAUUUGGUUAGCAAAACGCAGCUUAAUCAAAACAACAAAACCCUCUCUCGUCUCUUAUUUUCUCUCUCUAAGACACUCCCUUCACUCUCUCUCUAAGUCUCAACUGAAAAAUGGCAGCAAUUUCUAGAAAGUCGUCAGCAACCGGACCGGUCCUCCGGUCCACCGCCUCACCCUCACUGUCCGGGAGAUUCUACAACUCCCACUCCUCCGCCUCCACCGGCUUCGCCUCCUCCACAUCCAGCUUCUCCUCCCGCACCGCCGGUGGUUUCUUCACACGCGCCGCCUCUCCCCCGCGCGUGAGCCUCGCCAGGCCCUCCCCUUCCGCACAGUCCGUCCGAUUCUCCCUCCUCGACCGCCCUACCUCCCCUAGCCGCUCCAUCUCCGUCUCGCCUCACGGCUCCGGCUGCCACCACCGGAGCGCGAUGAAGAAGCAGAUCAACACCACCAAGCGGACCUGUAUGUGCUCCCCUACUUCUCACCCUGGCUCCUUCCGCUGCAGCCUACACAAGAACACGUCGGCGAGCUCCUCCUCCGCCGUGCCGUACUCGCAGAACCGCCUCAACGCGCGCAGAUCGGCGAUGACGAACUCGCUCGUCAGGAUCGGCGGCGUCGAAGGCGAGAUCAUGAAGCGCGCCUUGGCCGCUCUCAUCCGUCCCUCCUCCCACAGCCAGCGCCGCCGCGCCGACUUCCGCCCCCGGCCCAGCCGGCUCUCAAAGUGCAGCGAGUGAUUCCGAUAGGUAAACAAAAUUUUGAACAAAGUGAAGCGCGCUCGGAUCCUGAUUUCCCGGCGAAUCGAAGCCGCUCGCGGCGGAAUCCGGCGACUGUGAUCUGAUAUGGAACGGUAUGAUUCGGAACGGACUUGGUUUUUGUGUGUCCUCCGGUGACUGCUAUAGAGGACUAGUGUAUGAUGAAGAAAACCUAGGCCCUUUCUGUAUAUAUAGAAUACGAAAAUUAUAUGUAUCUGUAUGGCGCGCCAUUGUUAAUGGCCUCUCCAAUCCAAUCCGGGACUCGAUUAACUUCGAUUUUAGCAACUUAAUUUGAUCCCCGAACUUAAAUUCAGAUCCGAAUCCAUUCGUUUCAAUUGGGGACACUUGUUCAAUCUGGGUUCUCAUUCACCCAAUUCAAUCACAUCGCCGGAAUUUGAGUACCAUUGCUUGUACCUACCGAUCCGUUAAGUUCGUCUCCGAUACCAUAUUCCGGUUUUAUUGAGGUGAAUGGUUAUUUCUUCCUCCUAAUUUAUUCCUUUUCCGUUUGUCUAAUUUCAUUAUUUCUGUCUUGUGCAGGUUCCUGUUCUAAAAUUGAAGCCAAGAACUGCAAAAUUGCCUUGACCUCAAUGGAGUACUGGACUGACUCUAAAUUAACCAAAUUAAAUGGAAUUAAGUACUGGACUGACUCUAAAUUAACCAAAUUAAAUGGAAUUAAAAUUAGAAUAAUUAAGAUUCCGGUCACCGUCAACCUUUUUCUGUUGAUGCCGGGCACCUGAGGCUAAAGCAUUGAUCAUGCCGGGCACCUGUUGAUGCCGAGCACCGGAUCGGAAUUUACCGUCUCCACUGUUGAUCAAACUAUAAUAUCUUCUUCACCAGGACCCCCUCUCCUUAUCACCAGCUCGAUUAUUUUGGAUAUUUUUUUUCAAAAGCAGAUUCGAGCUUUCAAAAUUUUUUUGGGUAUCAAUCUAAAUCUGAAUCCUUCUUAUUCUCUAAUUUGGAACAUUAAUGUGAAAUGAUAAUUUUCAAAAUGGGGAAAUUAUUCCCAGUCGGUAUCAGAGAGUAACAAGUUGCUAAGGAACGGAAUAGUGUCCCUAUCUUGCCAAAGACGAAAAUGAAGGUCGAGGGCCGAGGACCCAUAAGGUUGCAAUGGCAGCCCUUUUUUCAACUGUAUCGCAUUCAUGGGAUGGCAGCAUUAGCCAAGAAACUGACUUUGGCUCUUUGGGGAGGAAGAAGAAGAAGAAGAAGAAGAUAAGGUCGACCAUGAAAGCGAAAGCUACGUAUGGGCCGAGACGUGGAGCUAAUCAACUUGCUGCCUUUUAGGCUUUUGUUUCCCAUUUGUCUCUUCAUCUUACUCACCAUUAUCCGAUUUUGAGUUUUUAUCCUUGUCGAUUUCUCUUUACGUGUCAUGAUGAGUCGACUGAAAUGUUACUUAAAUCAUUAAAACAAUAGUACUCUGAAUUCGUACAUUUCGUUUAUCACGUAUGAGUCAACAUGUUACCUAAACACUAAAAAAAUUACUUUUCGAAUCCGUCGUUUACGUAUUUCUUUGUCACGAAUCAGUCAAAUUCUUACUUAAAGUGUUUCUUUAUCACGAAUUAGUCGGAACAUUAUCUAGAAUGAUAGUACUUUGUAGUAUUUAUCUGUCGACUGAACUAGCAGCCAUUAGUCUACUCAUGUUCACAUUUACAGACAUAAAUGGAGCUCUCGAUUUAGCUUCCGAUGACAUAUGAGACAUAAAUCUAAAGAGUAUUAAUAUGAAGCUAAAGUUGUUGGUGAGCCGUGACUUGGUUGGUUAAAGUUUUUAACUGACACUUUGAGGUCAUAAGUUUAAACCUCAUUAACAUAUGUAAGAUGUGUGAGAUAUUAAUAAAAAUAAAAAUAAAAAAAUGAAACUAAAGUUAAUUUAGGUACCAAUGUGACAGAUGAGCAAUAGUGUUAGAACCGUCAUGAGAUUCACUCCUAAUAUUUUAAGCAUAAACUACAUCUUUGUUUAAGAAGAAAACACUCAAACAGUGACUUAAGUACCCAAUGAGCAGCAUUGUUAUAUAUGGUUAGAUUCUUGGUGUCAGCAGCUAAGAUUGGUAUUUGGUGGGUAGACACAUACUCGACAAUUUCGUGUCAGAUCCUAAUCUAACCCCAACUUUUCUCUAAUCAAAUUAUUGAUUCAGUUGAAAUCGGAGGUCGAUCUACUUAUAUUCUCUGCCUCGUGUUCUGAAAAAUUCCUGCAGUGGAUCAAACACCACUACCAACUCACAUUGUUGGGUUGUAAAUAUUUCAAAUCUGCUCUACCAUGCGGGAAUUGCCUAAUGGUUGCUGAGUCAGAAAUUGGAGGAAAAGAAAGAACCCGAUACUGAAAAGACCUGAAUGGUUUGGAUGGAUGUGGGGAAGCUCAUAUAUGAUCAAGCUUCAUGUGCAUGUAUCCUCACACAAGGGGUGUUAAAUGUUAAUAGAGGAAGGAAAUGGUUAUCUCGUUUGUUGCUUUGUUCAUUUAGUCACUUCAGAUGUAGAAAUGGGAUAAGGUUGAAGACAUGUAGGGUAUGAGGUAUGGGUUUCUAAGAAAAAAGAGAAAAUUGAGAAUAGCAAUUUUGAGAGUUCAGUAAAUCGUAUUCAUCAGUGAAGUUCAAUUAUUUCACAUUACGAUUUUUUAUCGGUGUACAAUUUUGUCUUGUAUUUUUAUCGAACAUACGAUUGAUGAAUUUAAACAAUAUUAUGCUCAAAUUUAAAAUGUGAGUCGAUGAACAGAGAAUCAUAAAUCUGAAUUCGAUAAAUCGAACUUGAAAUUUGAUCAUAGCAAUCACUAGAAGACUUUGACCUCUCAUAUAACGAAUUCUUCCUAUAAACAUAAAGUUAUGUCUUCUAUUUUGAGAUGACCUAUAACUAUAUUAAAGAACACUAAAAUGAAAUUUUGUCCCGUUUAAGAGAAAAUCCAAGCCGACUUGAGGUAUGUCUAAUCCACUAUCUCCUCAUGUGCAUGGAUAUAUACCUAUGAUGAAAUAAUGCAUGUCAAUUAGUGAGAAGCGUUUGGCUCACAUAAAGAACAAUAACAACAACAACCAAACUCCUAAUUAACUAAUUAAGUUCCAAAUCCUAUGAUCACAGCUGUUAUUAAGCAAGCUAGUGGUUCUCUUAACAUAUAAUAUCUUGCUAUCUUAAUCCUCUUGUCUCACAACGUUUAUCUGAAAUGGAUAACUAGAUAAGAUUGAGCAGCCUAAUUCUGUUAUGGCCUAAUUUGCACUCUAAGUAGAUAUUUUCAACGGCCAAAACCUACCAGAUAUUAUGGCCUUCAUUAAUGGUUUUGUUUUCUUCCUUCAGUUUCUUACUGUUCUAAUGAAUUCUACUUCAAAAUUUAGUACGUAUAAUUUGAUUUAGUGAAAUAUUUGUUAGCGGAAGUUCCGUAAAUGGGAGUUAACAACUACAUGAACCAUAUAGAGUUGCUCCCGGACACAACCCGAUCAAUUUCUCUUAGUUGCUAACUUGCUAUAUAUGGCUAGCUUAGAAGGUUCAAUCAUAUUUUCAGCACAACAAUACCUACAUAACUGCUUCAGUAAACUAAUUUCACAGCAAAUAAACUGUUUUUUCAUUAAAGCACAACAAAAUCAAACCAUACCUGGAUCUCCAUCUUAUCAGUCGAUCGGCUGCUGGCUAGCUCUCACCACUGGUAUCACACGUAUCGCAAUAUUCUUAUGGAAAACAUAACGUUUUAUUGUUCACGCACAGUGCUGCCAUGCAUUCUUGUUCCCACAAUAUUUGCAAACUUUAAUCACUUCAUAGUCAACACGACAUUUACAUAAUCCAUAAUAAUAUGUACUAUCAUAAUGGCCAACAUUAUAAUCUGAUUCUAUAGAGCUAUCUGCUGAAUCAUAAUCUUCUUCUUUAGGAUUAUAUUCUUCUGUAUCACUAUCUUCUUCGGCACCGCUACCCUUGUCUUCCUUUUCCUGCAGCACCGAAGCGGAGCCCUCAUUGGAUCCAUCAUUUAUAAUUCAGAACUCCUUGUCCCGCCAUGUACUGUUCCCAGUAGCGUGCUCGUCGAAUUCUUCCUUUCGGUGGUGCUUCGUCUGUUGUUCACCCUCCACGCUCGACCGGACGGUCCAAAGUAGGGUUCUGGUCCUCGUCGUCGGUCAUGGUUUUGCGUCUGAGAGAGAGGGAGUCGAUCAGUUGUGUUUAGGUUAGCUAGCCGUGUGCCUUUUUUUCUUUUUAGAGAUUCAUAACAAACGAAGUUGCUGUAUGGAAAUGGAGUGGCAUAUUAUGGCCCAUUUGGGCUUUGCCCUCGGACUUUGGAUUCCUUUCUUAGUUAGGCGCUGUCAACAUUUGGGCAUAGCUGUAUUUGGGUAUAUGUAUGCAAUUAUUUCAGGAAAAAAGAUCGAUAUAGUUAGAAGUUCGUCACAAUAUGCACACAUAUUGGCACUAUUUGUCUUUGUUAUAUAUAUCUUCUUGUUUUCUUUCCGAUGUGUCUGAACAUUGUUAUCGUUUCUUGGUCAUUCAUACUGCACCAUUGUUUCUCUUGGAUCUAGAAAACGCAUCAUCCCUUUGGAACCUCACUUCAAGAGAGACUGUCAUAAUUUGAUUAGCAGAAGUUGUGACCUAUUCGUUAGAUUUAAACAAAAAAAAAGGAAGUGAACAGGGUCCUCGAACCCGUGGCCUCCUAGUAUAAGGUGGUGACAACUUCCUUACUGGAACUGAAUGAACAUAACUCAAGUGGGAGGUACAAGAUACUAGAGCUCUGGAAUUUAAAAGUAGGAAGGAAAGCAACUCUUGCUGAAGGAGUUGCUUACAUCUUGAAGCUAUGGAAUGCGGUUAAGUAUACAAAGAGGCGAAGAAACUAAGAAGUAAGGCAUGUGGCAUGGGUUUUGAUUUUACUAGGGUAAUAUAUGCAGUAUCAACUUAGAGAGAUUAUCCAUUUCGGAUUCUUUCAAGUUUCUAGUCUAAAUAUAGUGAAGUAUCGGAUGAUGAUGAGAUGUCUUGGAAUGUACAGUAAGCUAUAUAUGUUUCCAUAUAUCAGUUACAUGCAUAAAUCAGUGUUUAAGAAGCUAAUUUCAAUGAAGUGCUGGUUGCGAGAAUGUUUUGGGAUGUGCACUAAGCUAUAUCUUACUUCAGCACAUAUUUGCAUCACAUCAGUUAAAUCCACCAGACAGACCAUUGUUCACCAUUCUGAAAGUAUGUCAUAGCCUUAUAGCUGGUUUUAGGUACUUCAUUGGCUGCACUUGUAAUUUCUGGACUUAAGCUGAGGUAUUGUGGCCAUAUUUCUGGUUUUUCAGGUAUGCCAUAGUCCUAUUGAGGUAGAGCUAUGACUAUACCAGCAAUAGGAUUUGCAUGUGCAGCCAAUGACUUCUAUAUCUUAACAGAGUUGUGAAUAAUGGAUUCAAGGCCAGUAGUGUAAUUACUGGAACACCUGCAGGUAGCAUCAGUCUUGAUGUGCAGGCAAGACCUAUUGCAAGGGAAAGGACAGAGCAACGUGUGGAUAUAUGUCUACCUGGUUAUGUGGGGGGAUGGGGAAGUAGACCCCAGAUGUUGCAUCGAGCAACCAACGACUCAUUACAGCCCAAGUACCUCAAAGGAGUAUACCUAUUCUUCUCUGUCUCUGUCUCUCUCUUUUUUGGUAAAUGAAUGAAUAUAUAGAAGAACCCAGGCUUCCAACAAGCCAAUAAAAUAAAAUAGUUGGCCUUUUACAGUCAAGUCUGCAUACUGGAUAGCUAGAAACAUGGUAAUACCAAAUGCUCUUGCUUCUUCUUCUGCAGGUAAUAAUUUACCUCUUCGGGAAAAGCUGUAGAAUGCUAAAGUCCCUGGCAGGAUUCAAAUUUGUGUGUGGCGAGCCUGCAACAACCUGCUGCCUACUAGAGCUAACUCAGCUAAGCUAGUACUAAAGGAUAUUCUGGUCCAUUACGUGCUUAUUUUGCCCUCAUCCUCAAUAAUCUAUUGAGCAUACAAUGUGUGUACGUGUGUGACUGCUCCAUCAGCAAAACCAUAACAUUGUUCAAUGGGGAAGCCAACGAAUACCUAUUCUCAAUGGGGAAGCGACAAGGGUGGACAAUAACAUUGUUCAUAAAAUGAGGUGAGUUUCGAAAGAGAGACUAGUUUACCGUAGAAGAAGAGCAAACGGGAAAGAAAAAAAAAAAAUUAAAAUAGAUAACAAAAAUAAAAGUAUAGAUACCGACCAAAAAAAUAAAGGAAAGAGUGAUAGAAAUUUUCGACCGUUGAAAAAAUAUGCUGCUGUGCUUCUCAUAUAUUUCCCCGUAAGCCAACAGGGUCCCAAAUGCCGACAUACAUUCAGGGUCGAGUUUUCUGAAAUUGGCUCAUUUUCGCAGAACUGAAUCCCCUGUACACGUCGAUUCAUCUCUCAAGCUCUGGUUUGUUUCUGGUCGUUGCUGUGCUGCCUGUGCAGGCAUCCCACGGUUAAUUUCUAAGAAGAUUAUGAGAAAUGUCGAUCGAGGUGUGAGAGAAGAUUAAACGACCAGAAUUUGUUGCUGAUCCGUUGAGUUUGAUAAUUUAUUCUCUAAUUUGUUAAUGUAUAUCUCUUCUGAUCCACGUACCUAUAUAUCCCAAAUUUCUGUUCAUCUUCUUCGAUGGUCUUCAAAGUCAAAUAACAUUUGAUUACAGAGCCAUUUCAGAUUUUAGAUUAAACUCGUAAUAUGAAAGCACAUACAACUGAUACAAGAAAGAAACCUCCGUGAAGUUAGACUAUAAUCAGCCAAAGUUUCUUUUCGUUUUCCAGAAAGAUUUAGGAGGAGCAAUCCCAGAAGCAAUCACGUAUCAUUCAAAGUAAACCACAAAACUCGUUGGUAGGAAAGGUUGGUUCAAUUCCAUAAUAAA